This 71938-nucleotide long non-coding RNA is filed under the name Triticum aestivum (bread wheat). RNAcentral describes it as "long non-coding RNA (TAES_LNC014850)". The stretch from base 60040 to 60174 matches the Rfam family "MIR1120/MIR1122 microRNA precursor family". Lineage: Eukaryota; Viridiplantae; Streptophyta; Magnoliopsida; Poales; Poaceae. The record is from RNAcentral.
CAGACAAUAAUGCUGAUGCAUGCAAAAGCAUAAAGUACUUGAUGGCCGAAUAUUAGCAGCAAAUAAAGCUCCAAAACAGAGUUCAUACAGUUGGAUAGAUUGGUCAUGAUAGCAAAACUCCUGGUACAACUAAAAGCAACGAUAACAGGCCUACUAAAGUGCAGGUUUCUGGAAUAAGCGAGUUGACAGAUGAGAAGAAUGGCGCCACCAUGCCAAGCAAGUACGCCCGCAGUCAGCCGCAGCCAAAGACACACAUAGGAAGCUACAGCACACCGUCACCACCCCCAUCAGCCUACUUGGAUCGCUGCCUCAUCUUUCGGCGCUUCCUCUUCAGCCUCCUCAUGCGCUUCUUCUUCCACUGAAUCAAGAGAUAAGCCAAGUUAAAAAGGAUACAUGAUCACAUAAAUUAUUCAAUAAAACAAGAAUAGAAGGGUGGCUUCCAGGCAUGCUGUUUGCAAAAAAUAAACCAAGUAAUCCCAUGAACCUCAGUGGUAAACAGAAGUCGGAAGCAACCAAAAGCAAGGCAACAAUCAAUUCAGCUGCCCAAUCCUGAGACAGGUUGUGAACAGUUUAACUGAAAUGCACUGAAAAACUGCAUCUGCUACAACAUGGCAGUUCAACAUUCCAGCUAGUCAAUUAUCUAAUACUGUUCAUCUACUUGGAUGCGGGCAACUAUGUUCAGUAUCACUUGCUAAGGCCAAAAGGAAUGUUCAAUAGCGAGCAGACGAGCAGAUUGUCUGCAACAUAGAAAAUUUAACAAGUCUACUACAACACGCAUUAAACAUGUGGUACUACAGCCAGAUAAGCCAAUUCAUCUUAUUACUUAAAUCAUCAUAACCAAAGAAGAAAUUCGCAGGUUUUGAAACAGUAUGGCGACCACAAAGGACCAACCACUAACGUACAUAAUCAAACACCAACAGAGUACUUCAGCAAAUUGUUAAUUCACAUCCCGAGGGCUCAUAUCAAGUGCAUUCGACCUUCACCGUGGCAGGGAAACCCAAACGAGACAGACGACCCACGCACGCGCGCGCAAGCACGACGACAAGCAACGCGAGCACGGUACGGGAGAACCGGAACACGAGAUACCUAAGCCCACACGAUACAUCGAUCGAUCUAAGGUAACACGAGACAAAACAUGCCCCACCAUCGCCGCCACCGCCACCGCCGACGCAAGCGUCGUCGGGCGGCACCUCGCGUUCCAUCCCUGACCGGCUCGAGUUGCUCGCCCCGUCGCAGCCGCAGCAGAAACGGGGGGCACGAGCACGAGACGGCGAGAUCUGCCGGCUCGCUAGGGUUUCCCAGGAAUUCGAGCCAUUCGAGCCUCUCUCUUUGUAAUCAUAGCCCCCGCUCGGCAAAGAACGAACAAACAAACAAACGAAGGAACAAAACCAUGGCGGUCGUCGCAUGGAUCUAGGGGACGAACGGGAUAGGUGUCCGGGGACUAGAGCGUGUGGAUUGGGAGGUUACCUUGGCCCUCAUGGUCGGUCGCCUCCUCGCGAGAUCUCCUUCUCGCCCCUGCUGCUUCUCCUCCUCCUGCGGCGGCGGCGGCGGUCUUGUGGUGGGGAGUGGGGGGAGUGGGAGAAAGGGAUGCGCACUGGGGGGUUACAAGAAGCGAAACCCUAGGAAGGUAGCUUCGAGAAUAUGGGCCUGGGCUUGUUAGCCGCUCGAAUGCCCACACGCUAUGGGCGUAUUGGGCUGAAGGCAUUCGAGGUAACUCUGCUUUCCUUUCCCUUUAGCGGUUUAGCGGAAGCAACUAGUUAACGAGCGCUUCUUCAGGAGCCUCGCAACGAUCAGCGCCACUUGUCGCGUUCUCAGCCAUUCGUCACGUGUCGUGUUCUGGACGUUUUUUCGGAUUUUAUUUUUUUAUUUUUCCACACGCGUUUUCGGCUUUUAAAUGGUUUUUUCCCGGGUUUUUUUUACGUUUUGGUUUUCCCCCGGUCUUUCUUAGCUUUUCGAUUAAAAAAAAUUCGAAAUUUUUUUUUUGCGCGAAAGAACACGUUUUCUUUUUUUCCUUUCGCAAAAGUCAUGGGGUUUUUUUCCGCGAGAGGUACGGUUGUGCUUUAUCGAGAGUCACGGCCGUGCUUUUCGAAAACGAAAAAAAAAUGUGUUUUCUGUUUUUUUUCUUUUGCGAGAGUCACGGUUUUUCUUCCGCAAGAGGCACGGUUGUGCUUUUGCGAGAGGCACGGCCGUGACUCUCGCAAANNNNNNNNNNNNNNNNNNNNNNNNNNNNNNNNNNNNNNNNNNNNNNNNNNNNNNNNNNNNNNNNNNNNNNNNNNNNNNNNNNNNNNNNNNNNNNNNNNNNNNNNNNNNNNNNNNNNNNNNNNNNNNNNNNNNNNNNNNNNNNNNNNNNNNNNNNNNNNNNNNNNNNNNNNNNNNNNNNNNNNNNNNNNNNNNNNNNNNNNNNNNNNNNNNNNNNNNNNNNNNNNNNNNNNNNNNNNNNNNNNNNNNNNNNNNNNNNNNNNNNNNNNNNNNNNNNNNNNNNNNNNNNNNNNNNNNNNNNNNNNNNNNNNNNNNNNNNNNNCUCGCAAAAGAAAAAAAACAGAAAACACGUUUUUUUUUUCGUUUCCGAAAGGCACGGCCGUGCCUCUCGGAAAGGGAAAAACAAAACGCGUUUUUUGUUUUUUUUCUUUCGUGAGAGUUACGGUUUUGCUUCCGCGAGAGGCAUGGUUGUACUUACGCGAAAGUCACGGCCGUGCCUCUCGGAAAGGGAAAAAAUACGCAUUUUCUUUUUUUUUCUUUCACGAGAGUUACGGUUUUGCUUCCGCAAGAGGCACGGUUGUGCUUUCGCGAGAGUCACAAUCGUGUCUCUCGAAAACGGAAAAAACGCGUUUUCUGUUUUUUUCCUUCCACGAGAGUCACGAUUUUGCUUCCACGAGAGACACGGUUGUGAUUUCGCGAGAGGCACGGGCGUGCCUCUUUUGGAAAGGGAAAAAAACCGUGCUUCCGAUUCGGUUUUUUCGCCCGGUUUUUUUCGUCCGGUUUUUUUCGUGAAAAAAAAGUUCGUCAAAACCUAUCAAAAUGGGACCUAAUUUUAAAGAUCUCGACGCGAGGAAUCCAAUGGUGAAAACGGUUCGAGAUUUGGACGCACGGUUUAAGAGAUAAAACGUUUUGAAUAAACGGAUCUACGAAAAAAGGGAAAACUCCCCGAUUGCGACAAGUGGCGCGCUGCAUGUGCGCCACUUGUCGCGACCUGGGAAAGUGAAGUGUUCUUUGCAACGAGUACUCCUUAAUUAGUGAUUUCGCCCUUUAGCCGCCCCCUCUCUCGCGUGUCAGCUGGGUGUUCGAAAAAAAAACUGAGUGUUCACAUGCACAAUAGCUUUUUUUUCUUAGGACAGCAUUGACGUAGCCUCAAAAAUAAGAAAGAAAGAAAAUCACCAUUGAGGUGGGUGGCUCCGUACAAUCAGGAACGGAGCUCACGUACAACCACUGGUGUCAGUUGACACCAGUGGAGUUCAGCGUUUCAAUUAGCAUGCUUAAUAAAUUUUGUCUUUGACGCCAGCCAGAAAGAUCGAUUGACACCAACCCGGCCGACGGAAAGCCGCUCCACAAACCCAAAAUGCCAGCCCAAUUACAGUCGUGCAAACAAAAAGGCUGACGGGAAGCCCGCAACACGUUAAUAUGAGAGUUAAUAGCAUCCCAGGUACCCUAACUUGCAUAGAAUGUGAUGAUUCAGUUUCAAACUUGCAAAAUUUGACUCCACCAUACCCCAACUUGCACCUCAUGUGAUGAUUUAGUCUCAAGCCAAUCACAACUCGACAAUUGGCAGCUAGGUUGCCGGACCGGUCAGCGCACGCACUUUUGCAGAAACCCCCCCUGCUGUUUUUCCUAUACCCCAACUUGCAACAGCUGUAAAUGGCAACAAUGGUUAGCAACUGACAGAAUGGAAUCACGAUGCAAGACUGGGAAUAUACCAUUUCACAGAAUAGCAUUUACCUGGUUAGUGCUCAUGAGAUACAAGUGAAACACUGAGAGGCCACCAACAAACCAAACCGCGAUAAAUGUGUACUCCAGAGCGAUAGAAGCAGGGGUCUUUGCCAUUGCCUUCCAUAUUGUUAUCUGCUCUGUAGGGCUCCUGGAGGCUUGCGCUCCCGCGCGACGGAGUUGAGCCCGUCGCCACAGCUGCGUCCGGGAAGUGAAGUCUGGUGCACUCACGCAACGGCGUCAAGGAUGCCAUCCACUACAAUGGCAGGUUCUACUCGAUCACAUACUUCGGCGAAGUAGAGGCAUGGGAUGAGUGCGGCGCCGAUGACCCAGGUGUGUUCGCAAGUGUGGUGAUCUCGCCGAGGCUGCCAGCCGACACCGAGCACCGCAAGUACCUAAUGGCGGCGCCGGGCGGGCCGCUGAUGGUCGUGCUCAAGGAGGGUCGGCGGACGUCUCCAUCCUUCAAGGUGCAGGUCCUCGGUGGCGGCGGCAAGGAGUGGAAGGUGACGGACGACAUCGGCGAAACAACGCUCUUCAUUGGGGGGAACGGUUCCUUCUGCGUGUCCACGAGGGAGCACCCGGAGCUCAGGGCCGGCUGCGUCUACUACACCGAGGACGAUCCGGGGCUAUACAAGGAUGCUCGCGACCGCUACUACAAUGGCAUUAAUUGGGGUAUUCACCCUCAAGGAUGGCAGCCGGGAGAAGGUCGAGGGCCUUGCGCUGGUCGCCACCAGUGUGGUUCAUGCCUUCCAUCCCAUUGUGAUGGAUACUGUGACUGAUUUCAUAGCUGUUGGGGUGGGUUAAGUGCUACUAUAUUAUGUGCAUUACUACAGUAUAGAUGCAGCAACAGGCUUAUGAAUCUGAAUUAAUCAAACAAUUCGGCUUGAUUUCCAGUAAAAAGGCUUCAGUAGAAACUUAGGAAACAGUUUGAUUUUCUGCUUCUUCUUUUCGUCUUCCAGAUUGUGGCAUAGUAAACAAAGGUGGCCCUUUUAGGUUGCUUUUUAAGUAUUCUGAUGGAACAAUUUAAUCAGUAUGCAUGACUCAGACUUAAUUUUAUGCUAUGAUGAUUGCAGCUCAUAUUAGUACGUAAUUAUUGCCCGAAGCUUUAAUUUAGAACGUUGGGGUUCGGGCCACCUUUCAUGACUUUUUUUAUGCAUGGCUCAGACCCUUAUUGAAGUAAUUAUUGCAGCUCUUAUUAGUAAGUAAUUAUCUGUUUGGGUGAGGUUUCUGGAUUAACAGGUUUAAUUCAGAACUAAACAGAGGAGAACAGUACUUAUAGCUAGAGAAGACUGUUUGGUUUGCUGGGUUCAUAAUAGCAUUUUGUGUUUGUGUUUUGCCUUUUGAUUGUUUCAAACUGCAACCAAUUCUGGAAUAUGAUCACGGCACUGCAUUUGCCUGCCUUUUGAUUAUCAUGCAGAUUUGAGGUGUGGGGUGUUGAGAGGGUACAUUACAUUUCCAUCCACAUCGGUGGCGUUCAGUUUUGCCUUCUUGUUGAUUAUUGAGAGGAAUCAAAUUGUCUUUUCACCAAUUUCUGUGGUCAUUGGAGUAGCAUCCUCUGCUUUCUCUUACCAGCACUCCAGCAGAGCAUGACUGUUACUGCAUGUUUCUGAAGAUAUACAUGCUGAAGUUUCAGUAACAACUAAGGAGAACAUUUGGAAACAAAAUAUGAUUUAAGAUACACACCAAGUAGCAGGUAACAUCAUAAAUUAGGAUUUUUGUACUAGCUAGUAUGCUGAAGCAGGUUGCAGGGGCCAGAUUUCUACUGCCCCCUGAUAAUGGGUGGCACGAAGCUGCACUUUGAGAUGCAGGGUUGUCCAUUUUUUAGAGUAAAUUAGGAUUAGUUGGACAAUGACCAGAGCUUAGUUAAGGAAAUGUUCUUUAUUAUUUAAGUAUAUGUGGUGCUGCUCAUACAUGUUGGUGCUGGUGCCAUGGGUGAUUUGAGAGCCUGAAUGCCGGCUUACUGCAAUAUCUUUUUGAAGAAAGUGUUUGGGGUUCAGGAGUACCGAAAACGAUUUGUGUUUGUUUCAAACUGCAACCACAGUUUGUUUUUAAUUUUCGAAUGGUCAACGUCGGUUUGUUUGGCUGCCUAUUUGUAUUGCUAUAGGCAAGAGUACAUCCAUCCUCUGCUUUCCACCAGCAUAGAAUCACCCUUACUGAACAUCUCUCAAGAUGUAUUUACAUACUUGGUUAUCAUCAUCAGUAACUAAAGAGAACAGUUGGAUCUUCUUGGAGUUCCAUUGUUGAAUCUCAAACUGCAACACACUAAUCGUUUUUCUUUUCUUUUGUUAAGAAUGAUCGAUCCAAGUUUUGGUCGCUGCUUAUGCAGUGGGCAAUUAAUGGUUCAGUUCACGGCAUGCUUCAGAAUUACUUCCAUGGCUGCAAUGUCAGGCUUGAUCUGUACAUCCUUGGUAUGUAUAUCAAGGAGGAAUACAUGCAGGUCAGGAGCUAAGAAUCGUUUUGUGGGCCGUUCCUUGCCUUUUGUGCUCUUGAUUGAUUAGUUUAUUAGGCUCUAGUCUGAGUGCCGGUAUCCCUUUUUCACUUUUAUUUUUGUUGGUUUUUAUUAUAAUACAGGAAGAUCUGCUGCGCGUAUAAGAGCAAGUACAAUAGAGCUGAGUCAGCUGGCUAUAAAAAAUAAACUAUUAUAUUCUUGCUUAGUUGGAGGAAAAAGAAAAGGAGAGAGAAGAUAAGCGGGCUCUUGAUGAAGAGUCAGCUCUAGCACGUGCUCCUAGGCACUUUGUGAGAGUGAAAAGUGGGCCAUAUAAUAAAAAAGUAAUACACUCUUCUAAUCAACUAUUGUACAUAUUGCCUAUAAGAUGAGCUAUAGAUGACAUGGCAAUGGCUUAUAGCCAGCAGUUGGCUAUACUAUUAACCAUGCUCUAACAAAACGGUAGGGGGUUUCUGCAAAAGUGCGUGCGCUGACCGGUCCAGUCACUUGGCUGCCAAGCUGUGAUUGGCCUGAGACUAAAUCAUCACAUGAUGUGCAAGUUGAAGUAUGGUGGAGGCAAGUUUUGCAAGUUUGAGACUGAAUCAUCACAUUCUGUGCAAGUUAGGGUACCUAUGAUGCUAUUACCUCUUAAUCUAAUAGCUGCGGUUGUGAGUUGUGACAUACGCAGAAGUACGUGCAGGUCGCACCAUCCACACCUAUCCGUCUUUUCGCCGCCUGGUGUUUCUCAACAAAAAAAAGCCUCUCCUCGCCGACUCAAUCCUCAAUUUCGGCAUCCAGAACCAAACCCUAGCAAUCUCAAUCUCUCUCUCACCGCUCGAUGGAACAACACAACUGCGAAGCAAAAACAGCAUGUUUUCAUGCCGGCCAGCCGGCGGCCGCAGCGGCAACAAAACAAUUUUAAUCUAAUAGUCUGCUGAGGAAAGUUCCUGAGUCCAGGUCUCCGGCAAGGUACACCAUGUCUGUACGGACAUAUGUGACCCCUAUACAGAAAUUUCUCACCUUGCCUAUUUUGAAUUUCUCUUCCUUGAUUCAUAUGGGGAUUAUGCAUAUUUUUUUGUUGAAAUGAACUAUAUCACAUGAUGAUUUUGAUUCAACAAAAUUGAUUGAUCUUGGUCAUGAACUUCACAUUUACAUUGAUAAUGUGCGGACAAAUCAAAUAUUUUCCAAUUUGGUUUGUAUUGCUGAGCUUGCUAUAUUGUUCGUGGAUGCCCAGAAGAAUCUUUUUUCUUUGAUUUGGUGCAUCGACUUCUAAAUUUGAUUCUAAUUUUGUUGAUUGUUGGUGAUUUUCAAAAAUUAAUAUUGGCAGCAAUGUUCUACAUAACAAAAUGAGUGAGCGGUUUAUGAGUGAUUGACUGAUUUGCUAAGCAGGAAAAAAAUUCUACCAUUACAAAUGAUGACAUGAUUAAUCUCUUUAAGAAGGUGAAAGGCCAUGAAGGGAAAUUAUAAAAUGUGAGUCUCGAGUCACUUUAAGUUUCGUUUGAUGAUAUUUAUAUUUAGUGUUAUUAGUUAUGUACAAUCGUUGUCAGUGUAAUAUGUUUUGUUUGUUGAUCUUUUGCUCGAAGUUAUAAAUGAAGCUCUCUAUAGUCGUCUUUUUUUAUUUUCUUCUUCUUAUGAAUUUGUAACUGGUUUCUUGCCUUCACUUGGUAUGCAAGCUUUUAAAUAAACAACUAUUAUAUUGUUUGCUAAUUGCAUAUUUUCAUUCUUUGUAUUGUUUUUUUGAAAGUUAUUUAUAUUUCCUGCCAUAAUCCAGUAGUGGGUUGUGGCUGACACCAAUGGCGAUUUUUUCUAGCUUCGUCCCUGCGUACAAUGUUAUUCCUUAAAUUCGUCAUCUUCCAACACCGAGGAAGCACGACGGGUUCGCGGUGGCAAGGCGCACAACUAACUACAUCGCCAAACGGAGCAAACUACGAAGGUGGGGUCCCCCGCCAUCCAACACCGCUAGUGUCCCGAAGGAGCAACAACGUCCAUGGCAGCUGCCUGCUUGAGCUUAGCCACAACAAUCUGUUGGGGAACAUAGCAGAAAUUCAAAAUUUUCUACGCAUAACCAAGAUCAAUUUAUGGAGUAAUCUAGCAACGAGGGGAAGGAGAGUGCAUCUACAUACCCUUGUAGAUCGCUAAGCGGAAGCGUUCAAGUGAACGGGGUUGAUGGAGUCGUACUCGCCGUGAUCCAAAUCACCGAUGAUCCUAGUGCCGAACGGACAGCACCUCCGCGUUCAACACACAUGCAGCCCGGUGACGUCUCCCAUGCCUUGAUCCAGCAAGGAGAGAGGGAGAGGUUGGGGAAGACUCCGUCCAGCAGCAGCACGACGGCGUGGUGGUGGUGGAGGAGCGUGGUACUCCAGCAGGGCUUCGCCAAGCACCGUAAGAGACGAGGAGGGAGAGGGGUAGGGCUGCGCCAAGAAGGAGAUGUUCUCGUAUGUAUGGCAGCCCAAAACCCCACUAUAUAUAGGGGAAAGGGAGGGGCUGCGCCCCCACCUAGGUUUCCACCCCUAGGGGUGGCGGCCAGCCCUAGAUCCCAUCUAGGGGGGCGGCCAAGGGGGGAGAGAGGGGGGCGCACCACUAGGUGGGCCUUAGGCCCAUCUGAGCCUAGGGUUUCCCCUUUUCCCUUCUCUCUUCGCCUUGGGCCCUGGUGGGGGGGCGCACCAGCCCACCUGGGGCUGGUCCCCUCUCACACUUGGCCCUCGUAGCCCUCUGGGGCAGGUAGCCCCACCUGGUGGACCCCCGGGACCCUCCCGGUGGUCCCGGUACGUUACCGAUAGCACCUGAAACUUUUCCGGUGACCAAAACAGGACUUCCCAUAUAUAAAUCUUUACCUCCGGACCAUUCCGGAACUCCUCGUGAUGUCGGGGAUCUCAUCCGAGACUCUGAACAACAUUUGGUAACCACGUAUAUCUAUUCCCUAUAACCCUAGCGUCAUCGAACCUUAAGUGUGUAGACCCUACGGGUUCGGGAACCAUGCAGACAUGACCGAGACACCUCUCUGGCCAAUAAACAACAGCAGGAUCUGGAUACCCAUGUUGGCUCCCACAUGUUCCACGAUGAUCUCAUCGGAUGAACCACGAUGUCGAGGAUUCAAUCAAUCCCGUAUUCAAUUCCCUUUGUCUAGCGGUAUUGUACUUGCCCGAGAUUCGAUCGUCGGUAUCCGAUACCUUGUUCAAUCUCGUUACUGGCAAGUCUCUUUACUCGUUCCAUAACACAUCAUCCCGUGAUCAACUCCUUGGUCACAUUGCGCAUAUGAUGAUGUCCUACCGAGCGGGCCCAGAGAUACCUCUCCGUCACACGGAGUGACAAAUCCCAGUCUCGAUUCGUGCCAACCCAACAGACACUUUCGGAGAUAUCCGUAGUGUACCUUUAUAGCCACCCAGUUACGUUGUGACGUUUGGCACACCCAAAGCAUUCCUACGGUAUCUGAGAGUUGCACAAUCUCAUGGUCUAAGGAAAUGAUACUUGACAUUAGAAAAGCUUUAGCAUACGAACUACACGAUCUUAGUGCUAGGCUUAGGAUUGGAUCUUGUCCAUCACAUGAUUCUCCUAAUGAUGUGAUCCCGUUAUCAACGACAUCCAAUGUCCAUGGUCAGGAAACCGUAACCAUCAAUUGAUCAACGAGCUAGUCAACUAGAGGCUUACUAGGGACAUGGUGUUGUCUAUGUAUUCACACAUGUAUCUGAGUUUCCUAUCAAUACAAUUAUAGCAUGGAUAAUAAACGAUUAUCAUGAACAAGGAAAUAUAAUAAUAACCAAUUUAUUAUUGCCUCUAGGGCAUAUUUCCAACAGUCUCCCACUUGCACUAGAGUCAAUAAUUUAGUUCACAUCGCCAUGUGAUUAACAUUCACAGGUCACAUCGCCAUGUGACCAACAUCCAAAGAGUUUACUAGAGUUCAAUAAUCUAGUUCACAUCACUAUGUGAUUAACACUCAAUGAGUUCUGGGUUUGAUCAUGUUACUUGUGAGAGAGGUUGUAGUCUACGGGCCUGUCACAUUCAGAUCCGUAUGUACUUUGCAAAUUUCUACACUAUAUUUGGAGCCAUUUCAAAUAACGGUUCUACUUGGAGCUAUUCUAAAUUGUUGCUCCAUUAUACGUAUCCGGUAUCUCUACUCAGAGCUAUCCGGAUAGGUGUUAAGCUUGCAUCGACGUAACUCUUUACGUCGAACUCUUUAUCACCUCCAUAACCGAGAAACAUAUCCUUAUUCCUCUAAGGAUAAUUUUGACCGCUAUCUGGUAAUCUACUCCUAGAUCACCUUUGUACCCUCUUGCCAGACAUGUGGCAAGGCACACAUCAGGUGCGGUACUUAGCAUGGCAUACCGUAUAGAGCCUAUGACAAAAGCAUAGGGGACGACCUUCAUCCUUCCUCUUUCUUCUGUCGUGGUCGAGCUUUAAGUCUUAACUUCAUACCUUACAACUCAGGCAAGAACUCCUUCUUUGGCUGAUCCAUCUUGAACACCUUCAAGAUCAUGUCAAGGUAUGUGCUCAUUUGAAAGUACCAUUAAGCGUUUUUUAUCUAUCCUUAUAGAUCUUGAUGCUCAAUGUUCAAGUAGCUUAAUCCAGGUUUUCCAUUGAAAAAACACCUUUCAAACAACCCUAUAUGCUUUCCAGAAAUUCUACAUCAUUUCGGAUCAACAAUAUGUCAUCCACAUAUACUUAUCUGAAAUGUUGUAGUGCUCCCACUCACUUUAUUAUAAAUACAAGUUUCUAACAAACUUUGUAUAAACCCAUAAACUUUGAUUGCUCCAUCAAAGUAUAUAUUCCGACCCCAAGAUGCUUGCUCUAGUCCAUGGAUGGAUCGCUGGAGCUAGCAUACCUUUUAGCAUCCUUAGGAUCGACAAAACCUUUUUGAUUGUAUCACAUACAACCUUUCCUUACGAAAACUGGUAAGGAAACUUGUUUUGACAUCCAUCUGCCAGAUUUCAUAAAUACAGCUUAUGCUAACACGAUUCCGACGGACUUAAGCAUCGCUACGGGUGAGAAAAUCUCAUCGUAGUCAACUUCUUGAACUUGUGAAAAACUCUUCGCCACAAGUCGAGCUUCAUAGACGAUGACAUUACCGUCCACGUCCGUCUUCUUCUUAAAAUCCACAUGUACCUAACAGCCUUACGACCAUCAAGUAGUUCUUCCAAAGUCUACAGUUUGUUUUCAUACAUGGAUCCUCUCUCGGAUUUUAUGGCCUCGAGCCAAUUUUCGGAAUCCGGGCCCACCAUCGCUUCUCCAUAGCUCAUAGGUUCAUCGUUGUCCAACAACGUGACCUUUAAGACAGGGUUACCACUUAGAAGUUGUACACACCCUUGUCAACCCAUGAGGUUCGAAAGUAACUUGAUCUGAAGCUCCAUGAUCAUCAUCAUUAGCUUUCUCUUCAACUGAGGCAGGUGCCACAGAAACAUUUUUCCUGUGCUGCGCUACUCUCUGGUUGAAGUAAAGGUUCAACAACCUUAUCAAGUUCUAUCUUCCUCCCACUCAAUUCUUUCGAGAGAAACUUUUCCUCGAGAAAGGACCCGAUUCGAGAAACAAUCCCUAUUGCUUUCGGAUCUGAGACAGGAGGUAUACCCAACUAUUUUGGGUGUCCUAUGAAGAUGCAUUUAUCCGCUUUGGGUUCGAGCUUAUCGGCCUGAAACUUUUCCACAUAAGCGUUGCAGCCCCAAACUUUUAAGAAAUGACAGCUUAGGUUUCUCUAAACCAUAGUUCAUACGGUGUCAUCUCAUCGGAAUUACGUGGUGCCCUAUUUAAAGUGAAUGUGGUUGUCUCUAAUGCCUAACCCAUAAACUAUCGUGGUAAUUCGAUAAGAGACAUCAUGGUAUGCAUCAUAUCCAAUAGGGUGCAGUUAUGAUGUUCGGACACACCAUCACACUAUGGCGUUCCAGGCUGUAUUAGUUGUGAAACAAUUUCCACAAUGUCUUAAUUCUGUGCCAAACUCAUAAUUCAGAUAUUCAUCUCUAUGAUCAUAUCAUAGAUAUUUUAUCCUCUUGUCACGACGAUCUUCAACUUCACCCUGAAAUUACUUGAACCUUUCAAUAAUUCAGACUCGUGAUUCAUCAAGUAAAUAUACUCAGCAUCUGCUCAAAUCAUCUGUGAAGUAAGAAUAUAAUGAUAUCCACUACAUGCCUCAGCACUCAUUGGACUGCACACAUCAAGAUGUAUUACUUCCAACAAGUUGCUUUCUUGUUCCAUCUUACUGAAAACAAGGCCUUUCAGUCAUCUUGCUCAUGUGGUAUGAUUUGCAUGUCUCAAGUGAUUCAAAAUCAAGCGAGUCCAAAGAUCCAUCAACAUGGAGCUUCUUCAUGCGUUUUAUACCAUUGUGACUAAAAUUGCAGUGCCACAAGUAUGUGGUACUAUCAUUACUAUCUUAUAUCUUUUGGCAUGAACAUGUGUAUCACUACGAUCGGGAUUCAAUAAACCAUUCAUUUUAGGUGUAAGACCAUUGAAGGUAUUAUUCAAAUAAACAGAGUAACCAUUAUUCUCCUUAAAUGAAUAACCGCAUUGCGAUGAACAUAAUCUAAUCAUGUCCAUGCUCAACGCAAACACCAAAUAACAAUUAUUUAGGUUUAACACCAACCCCGAUGGUAGACGGAGCUGCGAUGUUUGAUCACAUCAACCUUGGAAACUCUUCCAACACCUAUCGUCGUCUCACCUUUGGCUAGUCUCCGUUUAUUCUUUAGCCUUUUAUUUCGAGUUACUAACACUUAGCAACCGAACCGGUAUCUAAUACCCUGCUGCUACUAGGAGUACUAGUAAAGUACACAUUUAAUAUAUGUCCAAUACAUACUUCUGUCAACCUUGUCAGCCUUCUCAUCUACCAAGUAUCUAGGGUGGUUCUGCUUCAGUGACCGUUCCCCUUAUUAUAGAAGCACUUAGUCUCGGGCUUGGGUUCAACUUUGGGUUUCUUCACUAGAGCAGCAACUGAUUUGUUGUUUCAUGAAGUAUCCCUUUCUUGCCCUUGCCCUUCUUGAAACUAGUGGUUUUACUAACCAUUAACAAUUGAUGCUCCCUUUUGAUUUCUACUUUCGCGAUGUCGCGAAUAGCUCAAGGAUCAUAUCUAUCCCUGAUAUGUUAUAGUUCAUCACGAAGCUCGAGUAGCUUGGUGACAGUGACUUUGGAGAACCAUCACUAUCUCAUCUGGAAGAUUAACUCCCACUCGAUUCAAGCGAUUGUUGUACUCAUACAAUCUGAGCACAUGAUCAACGAUUGAGCUUUUCUCCUUAGUUUGCAGGCUUAAGAAACUUGUCAAAGGUCUCAUACCUCUAGACGUGGGCACUAGCCUGAAAUCCCAAUUUCAGUCCUUGGAACAUCUCAUAUGUUCUGCGAUGUUUCAAAAACAUCUUUGGUGCCUCAAUUCUAAACCAUUUAGCAUUAUGCACUGAACUAUCAUGUAGUCAUCAAAACGUGUAUGUCAGAUGUUCGCAACAUCCACAACCGACAUUCGUGGGUCAGCUCACCGAGCGGUGCAUUAAGGACAUAAUCCUUCUGCGCAGCAAUGAGGACAAUCCUCUGUUUACGAUCCAGUCCGCAUAAUUGCUACUAUCAACUUUCAACUAAAUUUUCUCUGGGAACAUAUCUAAAAUGGUAGAACUAAAGCGUGAGCUACGACAUAAUUUGCAAAGUCCUUUUGACUAUGUUCAUGAUAAUUGAGUUCAUCUGAUUAUUUCAUGAACUCCCACUCAGAUAGACAUCCCUCUAGUCAUCUAAGUGAUAAAUGAUCCGAAUCGACUAGGCCGUGUCCGAUCAUCACGUGAGACGGACUCGUCAUCAUCGGUGAACAUCUCAUGUUGAUCGCAUCUUCUAUACGACUCAUGUUCGACCUUUCGGUCCUCCGUGUUCCGAGGCCAUGUCUGUACAUGCUAGGCUCGUCAAGUUAACCUAAGUGUUUCACAUGUGUUCCGAGGCCAUGUCUGUACAUGCUAGGCUCGUCAACACCCGUUGUAUUCGAAAGUAAGAAUCUAUCACACCCGGUCAUCACGUGGUGCUUCGAAACGACGAACCUUCGCAACGGUGCACAGUUAGGGAAAACACUUUUCUUGAAAUUUUAGUGAGGGAUCAUCUUAUUUAAGCUACCAUCGUUCUAAGCAAAUAAGAUGUAAAAACAUGAUAAAACAUCACAUGCAAUCAAAUAGUGACAUGAUAUGGCCAUCAUCACUUUGCUCCUUUUGAUCUCCAUCUUCGGGGCUCCAUGAUCAUCAUCGUCACCGGCAUGACACCAUGAUCUCCAUCAUCAUGAUCUCCAUCAUCGUGUCUUCAUGAAGUUGUCUCGCCAACUAUUACUUCUACUACUACAGCUAACGGUUAGCAAUAAAGUAAAGUAAUUACAUGACGUUUAUGUUGACACACAGGUCAUAAAUAAAUCAAGACAACUCCUAUGGUUCCUGCCGGUUGUCAUACUCAUCGACAUGCAAGUCGUGAUUCCUAUUACAAGAACAUAAUCAAUCUCAUACAUCACAUAUAUCAUUCAUCACAUCCUUUUGGCCAUAUCACAUCACAAGGCAUAUGCUGCAAAAACAAGUUAGACGUCCUCUAAUUGUUGUUGCAAGUUUUUACGUGGCUGCUAUAGGUUUCUAGCAAGAACGUUUCUUACCUACGCGAAAACCACAACGUGAUAUGCCAAUUUCUAUUUACCCUUCAUAAGGACCCUUUUCAUCGAAUCCGAUCCGACUAAAGUGGGAGAGACAGACACCCGCCAGCCACCUUAUGAAACUAGUGCAUGUCAGUCGGUGGAACCGGUCUCACCUAAGCGUACGUGUAAGGUUGGUCCGGGCCGCUUCAUCCCACAAUGCCGCCGAAUCAAGAUAAGACUAGUAAUGGCAAGUAAAUUGACAAAAUCGACGCCCACAACUACUUUGUGUUCUACCCGUGCAUAGAAACUACGCAUAGACCUAGCUCAUGAUGCCACUGUUGGGGAACGUAGCAGAAAUUCAAAGUUUUCUACGCAUCACCAAGAUCAAUCUAGCAACGAGGGGAAGGAGAGUGCAUCUACAUACCCUUGUAGAUCGCUAAGCUGAAGCGUUCAAGUGAACGGGGUUGAUGGAGUCGUACUCGCCGUGAUCCAAAUCACCGAUGAUCCUAGUGCCGAACGGACGACACCUCCGCGUUCAACACACAUGCAGCCCGGUGACGUCUCCCAUGCCUUGAUCCAGCAAGGAGAGAGGGAGAGGUUGGGGAAGACUCCGUCCAGCAGCACAACGGCGUGGUGGUGGUGGAGGAGCGUGGUACUCCAGCAGGGCUUCGCCAAGCACCGUAAGAGACGAGGAGGGAGAGGGGUAGGGCUGCGCCAAGAAGGAGAUGUUCUCGUAUGUAUGGCAGCCCAAAACCCCACUAUAUAUAGGGGAAAGGGAGGGGCUGCGCCCCCACCUAGGUUUCCACCCCUAGGGGUGGCGGCUAGCCCUAGAUCCCAUCUAGGGGGGCGGCCAAGGGGGAAGAGAGGGGGGGUGCACCACUAGGUGGGCCUUAGGCCCAUCUGAGCCUAGGGUUUCCCCUUUUCCCUUCUCUCUUCGCCUUGGGCCCUGGUGGGGGCGCACUAGCCCACCUGGGGCUGGUCCCCUCUCACACUUGGCCCACGCAGCCCUCUGGGGCAGGUAGCCCCACCUGGUGGACCCCCAGGACCCUCCCGGUGGUCCCGGUACGUUACCGAUAGCACCUGAAACUUUUCCGGUGACCAAAACAGGACUUCCCAUAUAUAAAUCUUUACCUUCGGACCAUUCCGGAACUCCUCGUGAUGUCCGGGAUCUCAUCUGGGACUCCGAACAACAUUCGGUAACCACGUAUAUCUAUUCCCUAUAACCCUAGCGUCAUCGAACCUUAAGUGUGUAGACCCUACGGGUUCGGGAACCAUGCAGACAUGACCGAGACACCUCUCUGGCCAAUAACCAACAGCGGGAUCUGGAUACCCAUGUUGGCUCCUACAUGUUCCACGUGUAGGGGAACGUAGUAAUUUCAAAAAAAUUCCUACGCACACACAAGAUCAUGGUGAUGCACAGCAACGAGAGGGGAGAGUGUUGUCUACGUACCAACGCAGACUGACUGCGGAAGCGAUCACACAACGUAGAGGAAGUAGUCGUACGUUUUCCCGAUCCGACCGAUCCAAGCACCGUUACUCCGGCACCUCCGAGUUCUUAGCACACGUACAGCUCGAUGACGAUCCCCGGGCUCCGAUCCAGCAAAGCGUCAGGGAAGAGUUCCGUCAGCACGACGGCGCGGUGACGAUCUUGAUGUUCUACCGUCGCAGGGCUUCGCCUAAGCGCCGCUACAAUAUGAUCGAGGUGGAAUAUGGUGGCAGGGGGCACCGCACACGGUUAUGGAACGAUCACGGGGAUCAAUUGUGUGUCUAGAGGUGCCCCUGCCCCUGUAUAUAAAGGAGCAAGGGGAGAGAGGUGCGGCCAGCCUUGGGGCGCGCCACGAGGAGUCCUACUCCCUCUGGGAGUAGGAUUCCCCCCCAAUCCUAGUUGGAAUAGGAAUCCUCAAGGGGGGAAAGAGAGAGAGGGGGGCCGGCCACCUUGGGCUGCCCCUUUCUCCUUUCCACUAAGGCCCAUGAAGGCCCAUAUGGCUCCCGGGGGGUUCCGGUAACCUCCCGGUACUCCGGUAAAAUCCCGAUUUCACCCGGAACACUUCCGAUAUCCAAAUAUAGGCUUCCAAUAUAUCAAUCUUUAUGUCUCGACCAUUUUGAGACUCCUCGUCAUGUCCGUGAUCACAUCCAGGACUCCGAACAACCUUCGGUACAUCAAAAUGCAUAAACUCAUAAUAACUGUCAUCGUAACGUUAAGCGUGCGGACCCUACGGUUCGAGAACAAUGUAGACAUGACCGGGACACGUCUCCGGUCAAUAACCAAUAGCGGGACCUGGAUGCCCAUAUUGGCUCCUACAUAUUCUAUGAAGAUCUUUAUCGGUCAGAUCGCAUAACAACAUACAUUGUUCCCUUUGUCAUCGGUAUGUUACUUGCCCGAGAUUCGAUCGUCGGUAUCCAAUACCUAGUUCAAUCUCGUUACCGGCAAGUCUCUUUACUCGUUUUGUAAUACAUCAUCCGGCUACUAACUCAUUAGUUGCAAUGCUUGCAAGGCUUAUGUGAUGUGCAUUACCGAGAGGGCCCCAGAGAUACCUCUCCGACAAUCGGAGUGACAAAUCCUAAUCUCGAAAUACGCCAACCCAACAUCUACCUUUGGAGACACCUGUAGAGCUCCUUUAUAAUCACCCAUUUACGUUGUGACGUUUGGUAGCACACAAAGUGUUCCUCCGGUAAAUGGGAGUUGCAUAAUCUCAUAGUCAUAGGAACAUGUAUAAGUCAUGAAGAAAAGCAAUAGCAACAUACUAAACGAUCGGGUGCUAAGCUAAUGGAAUGGGUCAUGUCAAUCAGAUCAUUCAACUAAUGAUGUGACCUCGUUAAUCAAAUAACAACUCUUUGUUCAUGGUUAGGAAACAUAACCAUCUUUGAUUAACGAGCUAGUCAAGUAGAGGCAUACUAGUGACACUCUGUUUGUCUAUGUAUUCACACAUGUAUUAUGUUUCCGGUUAAUACAAUUCUAGCAUGAAUAAUAAACAUUUAUCAUGAUAUAAGGAAAUAAAUAAUAACUUUUAUUAUUGCCUCUAGGGCAUAUUUCCUUCAGUCUCCCACUUGCACUAGAGUCAAUAAUCUAGAUUACACUGUAAUGAUUCUAACACCCAUGGAGCUUUGGUGCUGAUUAUGUUUUGCUCGUGGAAGAGGCUUAGUCAACGGGUCUGCAACAUUCAGAUUCGUAUGUAUCUUGCGAAUCUCUAUGUCUCCCACCUGGACUAGAUCCCGAAUGGAAUUGAAGCGUCUCUUGAUGUGUUUGGUCCUUUUGUGAAAUCUGGAUUCCUUUGCCAAGGCAAUUGCACCAGUAUUGUCACAAAAGAUUUUCAUUGGACCCGAUGCACUAGGUAUGACACCUAGAUCGGAUAUGAACUCCUUCAUCCAGACUCCUUCGUUCGUUGCUUCCGAAGCAGCUUUGUACUCCGCUUCACAUGUAGAUCCCGCUACGACGCUUUGUUUAGAACUGCACCAACUGACAGCUCCACCGUUUAAUGUAAACACGUAUCCGGUUUGCGAUUUAGAAUCGUCCGGAUCAGUGUCAAAGCUUACAUCAACGUAACCUUUUACGGUGAGCUCUUUGUCACCUCCAUAUACGAGAAACAUAUCCUUAGUCCUUUUCAGGUAUUUCAGGAUGUUCUUGACCGCUGUCCAGUGAUCCACUCCUGGAUUACUUUGGUACCUCCCUGCUAAACUUAUAGCAAGGCACACAUCAGGUCUGGUACACAGCAUUGCAUACAUGAUAGAGCCUAUGGCUGAAAUAUAGGGAACAUCUUUCAUUUUCUCUCUAUCUUCUGCAGUGGUCGGGCAUUGAGUCUGACUCAACUUCACACCUUGUAACACAGGCAAGAACCCUUUCUUUGCUUGAUCCAUUUUGAACUUCUUCAAAAUCUUGUCAAGGUAUGUGCUUUGUGAAAGUCCAAUUAAGCGUCUCGAUCUAUCUCUAUAGAUCUUUAUGCCUAAUAUGUAAGCAGCUUCACCGAGGUCUUUCAUUGAAAAACUCUUAUUCAAGUAUCCCUUUAUGCUAUCCAGAAAUUCUAUAUCAUUUCCAAUCAGCAAUAUGUCAUCCACAUAUAAUAUCAGAAAUGCUACAGAGCUCCCACUCACUUUCUUGUAAAUACAGGCUUCUCCGAAAGUCUGUAUAAAACCAAAUGCUUUGAUCACAUUAUCAAAACGUUUAUUCCAACUCCGAGAGGCUUGCACCAGUCCAUAAAUGGAUCGCUGGAGCUUGCACACUUUGUUAGCUCCCUUUGGAUCGACAAAACCUUCCGGUUGCAUCAUAUACAACUCUUCUUCCAGAAAUCCAUUCAGGAAUGCAGUUUUGACAUCCAUCUGCCAAAUUUCAUAAUCAUAAAAUGCGGCAAUUGCUAACAUGAUUCAGACAGACUUAAGCAUCGCUACGGGUGAGAAGGUCUCAUCGUAGUCAACCCCUUGAACUUGUCGAAAACCUUUUGCGACAAGUCGAGCUUUGUAGACAGUAACAUUACCAUCAGCGUCAGUCUUCUUCUUGAAGAUCCAUUUAUUCUCAAUUGCUUGCCGAUCAUCGGGCAAGUCAACCAAAGUCCAUACUUUGUUCUCAUACAUGGAUCCCAUCUCAGAUUUCAUGGCUUCAAGCCACUUUGCGCAAUAUGGGCUCACCAUCGCUUCUUCAUAGUUCGUAGGUUCAUCAUGAUCUAGUAGCAUGAUUUCCAGAACAGGAUUACCGUACCACUCUGGCGCGGAUCUUACUCUGGUUGAUCUACGAGGUUCAGUAGUAUAUUGAUCUGAAGUUUCAUGAUCAUCAUCAUUAGCUUCCUCACUUAUUGGUGUAGGUGUCGCAGAAACAGUUUUCUGUGAUAUACUACUUUCCAAUAAAGGAGCAGGUACAGUUACCUCGUCAACUUCUACUUUCCUCCCACUCACUUCUUUCAAGAGAAACUCCUUCUCUAAAAAGGAUCCAUACUUAGCAACGAAUGUCUUGCCUUCGGAUCUGUGAUAGAAGGUGUACCCAACAGUCUCCUUUGGGUAUCCUAUGAAGACACAUUUCUCCGAUUUGGGUUCGAGCUUAUCAGGUUGAAGCUUUUUCACAUAAGCAUCGCAGCCCCAAACUUUAAGAAACGACAACUUUGGUUUCUUGCCAAACCACAGUUCAUAAGGCGUCGUCUCAACGGAUUUUGAUGGUGCCCUAUUUAACGUGAAUGCGGCCGUCUCUAAAGCAUAACCCCAAAACGAUAGCGGUAAAUUAGUAAGAGACAUCAUAGAUCGCACCAUAUCUAGUAAAGUACGAUUACGACGUUUGGACACACCAUUACACUGUGGUGUUCCGGGUGGCGUGAGUUGCGAAACUAUUCCACAAUUUUUCAAAUGUACACCAAACUCAUAACUCAAAUAUUCUACUCCAUGAUCAGAUCGUAGAAACUUUAUUUUCUUGUUACGAUGAUUUUCAACUUCACUCUGAAAUUCUUUGAACUUUUCAAAUGUUUCAGAUUUAUGUUUCAUUAAGUAGAUAUACCCAUAUCUGCUUAAAUCAUCUGUGAAGGUGAGAAAAUAACGAUACCCGCCACAAGCCUCAAUAUUCAUCGGACCACAUACAUCGGUAUGUAUGAUUUCCAACAAAUCUGUUGCUCUCUCCAUAGUACCGGAGAACGGUGUUUUAGUCAUCUUGCCCAUGAGGCAUGGUUCGCAAGUACCAAGUGAUUCAUAAUCAAGUGGUUCCAAAAGUCCAUCAGUAUGGAGUUUCUUCAUGCGCUUUACACCGAUAUGACCUAAACGACUGUGCCACAAAUAAGCUGCACUUUCAUUAUCAACUCUGUAUCUUUUGGCUUCAACAUUAUGAAUAUGUGUAUCACUACUAUCGAGAUUCAUCAAAAAUAGACCACUCUUCAAAGGUGCAUGACCAUAAAAGAUAUUACUCAUAUAAAUAGAACAACCAUUAUUCUCUGAUUUAAAUGAAUAACCGUCUCGCAUCAAACAAGAUCCAGAUAUAAUGUUCAUGCUCAAUGCUGGCACCAAAUAACAAUUAUUUAGGUCUAAUAUUAAUCCCGAAGGUAGAUGUAGAGGUAGCGUGCCGACCGCGAUCACAUCGACUUUGGAACCGUUUCCCACGCGCAUCGUCACCUCGUCCUUUGCCAGUGCCCGCUUAUUCCGUAGUCCAUGUUUCGAGUUGCAAAUAUUAGCAACAGAACCAGUAUCAAAUACCCAGGUGCUACUGCGAGCUCUAGUAAGGUACACAUCAAUAACAUGUAUAUCACAUAUACCUUUGUUCACCUUGUCAUCCUUCUUAUCCGCCAAAUACUUGGGGCAGUUCCGCUUCCAGUGACCAGUCUGCUUGCAGUAGAAGCACUCAGUUUCAGGCUUAGGUCCAGACUUGGGUUUCUUCUCCUGAGCAGCAACUUGCUUGCUGUUCUUCUUGAAGUUCCCCUUCUUCUUCCCUUUGCCUUUUUUCUUGAAACUAGUGGUCUUGUUAACCAUCAACACUUGAUGCUCCUUCUUGAUUUCUACCUCCGCAGCUUUCAGCAUUGCGAAGAGCUCGGGAAUAGUCUUGUUCAUCCCUUGCAUAUUAUAGUUCAUCACGAAGCUCUUGUAGCUUGGUGGCAGUGAUUGGAGAAUUCUGUCAAUGACGCAAUCAUCCGGAAGAUUAACUCCCAAUUGAAUCAAGUGAUUAUUAUACCCAGACAUGUUGAGUAUAUGCUCACUGACAGAACUGUUCUCCUCCAUCUUGCAGCUAUAGAAUUUAUUGGAGACUUCAUAUCUCUCAAUCCGGGCAUUUGCUUGAAAUAUUAACUUCAACCCCUGGAACAUCUCAUAUGCUCCAUGACGUUCAAAACGUCGUUGAAGUCCCGAUUCUAAGCCAUAAAGCAUGGCACACUGAACUAUCGAGUAGUCAUCAGCUUUGCUCUGCCAGACGUUCAUAACAUCUGGUGUUGCUCCAGCAGCAGGCCUAGCACCCAGCGGUGCUUCUAGGACGUAAUUCUUCUGAGCAGCAAUGAGGAUAAUCCUCAAGUUACGGACCCACUCCGUGUAAUUGCUACCAUCAUCUUUCAACUUUGCUUUCUCAAGGAACGCAUUAAAAUUCAACGGAACAACAGCACGAGCCAUCUAUCUACAAUCAACAUAAACAAGCAAGAUACUAUCAGGUACUAAGUUCAUGAUAAGUUUAAGUUCAAUUAAUCAAAUUACUUAAGAACUCCCACUUAGAUAGACAUCCCUCUAAUCCUCUAAGUGAUCACGUGAUCCAAAUCAACUAAACCAUAACCGAUCAUCACGUGAGAUGGAGUAGUUUUCAAUGGUGAACAUCGUUUAUGUUGAUCAUAUCUACUAUAUGAUUCACGCUCGACCUUUCGGUCUCCGUGUUCCGAGGCCAUAUCUGCAUAUGCUAGGCUCGUCAAGUUUAACCUGAGUAUUCUGCGUGUGCAAAACUGGCUUGCACCCGUUGUAGAUGGACGUAGAGCUUAUCACACCCGAUCAUCACGUGGUGUCUGGGCACGCCGAACUUUGGCAACGGUGCAUACUCAGGGAGAACACUUCUUGAUAAUUUAGUGAGAGAUCAUCUUAUAAUGCUACCGUCAAUCAAAGCAAGAUAAGAUGCAUAAAAAGAUAAACAUCACAUGCAAUCAAUAUAAGUGAUAUGAUAUGGCCAUCAUCAUCUUGUGCUUGUGAUCUCCAUCUCUGAAGCACCGUCAUGAUCACCAUCGUCACCGGCGCGACACCUUGAUCUCCAUCGUAGCAUCGUUGUCGUCUCGCCAAUCUUAUGCUUCCACGACUAUCGCUACCGCUUAGUGAUAAAGUAAAGCAUUACAUCGCGAUUGCAUUGCAUACAAUAAAGCGACAACCAUAUGGCUCCUGCCAGUUGCCGAUAACUCGGUUACAAAACAUGAUCAUCUCAUACAAUAAAAUUCAUCAUCAUGCCUUGACCAUAUCACAUCACAACAUGCCCUACAAAAACAAGUUAGACGUCCUCUACUUUGUUGUUUGCAAGUUUUACGUGGCUGCUACGGGCUUAAGCAAGAACCAAUCUCACCUACGCAUCAAAACCACAACGAUAGUUUGUCAAAUAGACUCCGUUUUAACCUUCGCAAGGACCGGGCGUAGCCACACUCGGUUCAACUAAAAUUGGAGAGACAGUCGCCCGCAAGCCACCUAUGUGCAAAGCACGUCGGGGAAACCGGUCUCGCGUAAGCGUACGCGUAAUGUUGGUCCGGGUCGUCUCGUCCAACAAUACCGCUGAACCAAAGUAUGACAUGCUGGUAGGCAGUAUGACUUAUAUCGCCCACAACUCACUUGUGUUCUACUCGUGCAUAUAACAUCAAACCAUAAAACCAAGCUCGGAUACCACUGUAGGGGAACGUAGUAAUUUCAAAAAAAUUCCUACGCACAUGCAAGAUCAUGGUGAUGCACAGCAACGAGAGGGGAGAGUGUUGUCUAUGUACCAACGCAGACCGACUGCGGAAGCGAUCACACAACAUAGAGGAAGUAGUCGUACGUUUUCCCGAUCCGACCGAUCCAAGCACCGUUACUCCGGCACCUCCGAGUUCUUAGCACACGUACAACUCGAUGACGAUCCCCGGGCUCCGAUCCAGCAAAGCGUCGGGGAAGAGUUCCGUCAGCACGACGGCGCGGUGACGAUCUUGAUGUUCUACCGUCGCAGGGCUUCGCCUAAGCGCCGCUACAAUAUGAUCGAGGUGGAAUAUGGUGGCAGGGGGCACCGCACACGCUUAUGGAACGAUCAUGGGGAUCAAUUGUGUGUCUAGAGGUGCCCCCUGCCCCUGUAUAUAAAGGAGCAAGGGGGGAGAGGUGCGGCCAGCCUUGGGGCGCGCCAGGAGGAGUCCUACUCCCUCUGGGAGUAGGAUUCCCCCCCCCCCAAUCCUAGUUGGAAUAGGAAUCCUCAAGGGGGGGAAGAGAGAGAGGGGGGCCGGCCACCUCUCCUAGUCCUAAUAGGACUAGGGGAGGGGGGAGGCGCGCGGCCACCUUGGGCUGCCCCUUUCUCCUUUCCACUAAGGCCCAUGAAGGCCCAUAUGGCUCCCGGGGGGUUCCGGUAACCUCCCGGUACUCCGGUAAAAUCCCGAUUUCACCCGAAACACUUCCGAUAUCCAAAUAUAGGCUUCCAAUAUAUCAAUCUUUAUGUCUUGACCAUUUCGAGACUCAUCGUCAUGUCCGUGAUCACAUCCGGGACUCCGAACAACCUUCGGUACAUCAAAAUGCAUAAACUCGUAAUAACUGUCAUCGUAACGUUAAGCGUGCGGACCCUACGGUUCGAGAACAAUGUAGACAUGACCGAGACACGUCUCCGGUCAAUAACCAAUAGCGGGACCUGGAUGCCCAUAUUGGCUCCUACAUAUUCUACGAAGAUCUUUAUCGGUCAGAUCACAUAACAACAUACGUUGUUCCCUUUGUCAUCGGUAUGUUACUUGCCCGAGAUUCGAUCGUCGGUAUCCAAUACCUAGUUCAAUCUCGUUACCGGCAAGUCUCUUUACUCGUUCUGUAAUACAUCAUCCUGCUACUAACUCAUUAGUUGCAAUGCUUGCAAGGCUUAUGUGAUGUGCAUUACCGAGAGGGCCCCAGAGAUACCUCUCCGACAAUCGGAGUGACAAAUCCUAAUCUCGAAAUACGCCAACCCAACAUCUACCUUUGGAGACACCUGUAGAGCUCCUUUAUAAUCACCCAUUUACGUUGUGACGUUUGGUAGCACACAAAGUGUUCCUCCGGUAAACGGGAGUUGCAUAAUCUCAUAGUCAUAGGAACAUGUAUAAGUCAUGAAGAAAAGCAAUAGCAACAUACUAAACAAUCGGGUGCUAAGCUAAUGGAAUGGGUCAUGUCAAUCAGAUCAUUCAACUAAUGAUGUGACCUCGUUAAUCAAAUAACAACUCUUUGUUCAUGGUUAGGAAACAUAACCAUCUUUGAUUAACGAGCUAGUCAAGUAGAGGCAUACUAGUGACACUCUGUUUGUCUAUGUAUUCACACAUGUAUUAUGUUUCCGGUUAAUACAAUUCUAGCAUGAAUAAUAAAUAUUUAUCAUGAUAUAAGGAAAUAAAUAAUAACUUUUAUUAUUGCCUCUAGGGCAUAUUUCCUUCACCACGAUGAUCUCAUCGGAUGAACCACGAUGUUGAGGAUUCAAUCAAUCCCGUAUUCAAUUCCCUUUGUCUAGCAGUAUUGUACUUGCCCGAGAUCCGAUCGUCGGUAUCUGAUACCUUGUUCAAUCUCGUUACUGGCAAGUCUCUUUACUCAUUCCGUAACACAUCAUCCUGUGAUCAACUCCUUGGUCACAUUGCGCAUAUGAUGAUGUCCUACCGAGUGGGCCCAGAGAUACCUCUCCGUCACACGGAGUGACAAAUCCCAGUCUCGAUUCGUACCAACCCAACAGACACUUUCGUAGAUACCCGUAGUGUACCUUUAUAGCCACCCAGUUACGUUGUGACGUUUGGCACACCCAAAGCAUUCCUACGGUAUCCGGGAGUUGCACAAUCUCAUGGUCUAAGGAAAUGAUACUUGACAUUAGAAAAGCUUUAGCAUACGAACUACACGAUCUUUAUGCUAGGCUUAGGAUUGGGUCUGGUCCAUCACAUGAUUCUCCUAAUAAUGUGAUCCCGUUAUCAACGACAUCCAAUGUCCAUGGUCAGGAAACCGUAACCAUCAAUUGAUCAACGAGCUAGUAAACUAGAGGCUUACUAGGGACAUGGUGUUGUCUAUGUAUCCACACAUGUAUCUGAGUUUCCUAUCAAUACAAUUAUAGCAUGGAUAAUAAACGAUUAUCAUGAACAAGGAAAUAUAAUAAUAACCAAUUUAUUAUUGCCUCUAGGGCAUAUUUCCAACACAAUCGCGACGUCACGAAAAUAGUUCUUGCAACAUGAUUUUUGUUAAAAAAAUCCACAACAUGGUCUUUGUUACAAAAAAUAUGCAGUCGUUUCGCAACAAGAUCUCUAUUACAAAAAAAUGGCAACAUGAUUUGUGGCGAAAAAAACUUCGAGACGCUUAUGCAACAUGGUCUCUGUUGAAAAAAAUGGAACAUAACCUCUGCUGCAACACAAUCUAUAUUGCAAAUGUUUCUGCAAUAUUAGCACAGUUGCAGUGGUGGUCGCCGUCAGCCACCUGAGGGCUCACGACCUGGCGGGUCUUUUAAAAAGAUCAGUCGAUGGCCGCGUACUACACCCUGUAAAAUUCCGUCGAUCUACUCUCGUCGCAUUUUCUCUACUUCUAAUGUCUCAGUUGGUUGAAUAGUACCACUGUUUAUUUUCGUCUGGUUAUAUUUCGUCAGGUUUAUUUUUGUCUGGUUUAUCUUUGUCUCACAUCCCACCACCAUAUCUCCUCACGUUGAUUUUUUUACCCUCACAAUAAAAACUUUCCUAACCUUUUCAAAGUUUCCUAACUAGACACGUUAUAAACGGACAGGAACCGAUAGCACGUUACCAAUAAAAACUUUCCUAACCUUUUCACCUUUCCUAACUAUCCAUGUUACAAACCGGCAGGAACCAAUAGCAUGACCAAACAAUAAAAUCCAGUUUUCUGGUAAUUAAUUCCAAAUCUCAAUUUUCCUAACGCAACGAUUCGUACUCUCCUAGCAAUUAAGUAGAGUAUGCGGUGACAAUUUGUCUCGUUUUUUUCCUAUCCAUCCCAAAAAAUCAACAUUCAACCUACCGUGUUUCUGUAUGGAAGAUAUCCUAGACAAAUAGGACGUGAUCGUAGUCUGAUUUGAUUGCACAUGACGCGGCACACUUCAUAAAAGGAGCGUCGCACGCAUUCCCCGCCAGACUUCAUGGCGCCUCCCGUCCUCCAUGUCUACUGCCAGACCACGCAAUACCUUCUCCCAUUCUCCAGCGGUUCCGCAUCCCUGCAACACCAACAGGCUCGCAGCCUCCCAGUCGAUGAUCCUCCGUCAUAGUUUUCGACCCCUCCUUGCACCCCGCCAGCGCAACACCCGCUGCCCCGCUUGCACAUGUCGGCGUUGGUUAGCAUCUAUCUCGCUUAUCCCGGGGCGGAGCUCGCCCCAUCGUUGUCGGUGCCAUGGCCAUCUUGCACAUGGAGCCACCUCCGCCGCCAUCCACCAGCGUCGACGACGAGCGCGACCCCGAGUACUGAGAGGCUAUGCGAGGGCGAUGAGGCCGAAGAGUCCAAGUUUGUCCCUUGGCCGCCACCCUUCCUCUCGCACGCGACCACUGCACCAUCUCGCUUGCACGAGCACGACAACCCCCGCUACCAUCCCUCGAACGACGCCCUAUCCUCGCCUCCGGCUGUCUCCUGAAUCCCCCCACCAUGCCGCCUCACCUCGCCUACUCACUUGCACCUGGCAACCGCCGACGCCGGAUCUCGUCUCCAUGGUCAGCGUCGUCGGUCACCUCCCGCUGCCCAGCCACUUCCAUCUUCUCAAAGAAGCCGCCAGUCCUCCAUCUUCUCAAAGAAGCCAAUGGCACUUGGCUCUUGCUGCCGAGUACGCACCUCCCCAUGUCCGGCCGGUGGCAGCAUGUCGAAUUGGUCGCCAUACCACCGAGUAGCCAAUGGUAACUGCCUGGAGUGCCUUUCUUUGCCCGAAGAUCUCAUUUCCGAUCUGGAUUCCAGCAACUAUGGGGCACAAUAAUCGCCGCUUUUGUCUGCAUAACCUUGCCAUUAAUCCAAGUAAGCACUCCUUUUUUGCUUGUUAUAUGUACCAUGUGAUAGUUGCUUGAUUGCUUUUGUUGUUGUUGGCAUUGGUUAUCAUGGGAGAGUUGGAGAGAGCACAUGGAUAAGCAGCUCGCCCGCUUCCUGAACCAAACUUUUGAUUUUGAAUGAACAGUUGUUCUCUGUUCUCAGGCUUUCUUUUGAUUUUAGGUCUGUAUGUAUGAAUAGUAGUGUUUGCUCGAUGCUGAUUGGUAUAAGGACUAAAGGAUGUAUGUAGCUUUUUUAUCUGUCGGACAAUUGGAUGUUUCACACUAACAUAAUUGAGUGAGUCUUGGUAUUCAGGACAAAGUUAUUAACAAAGGUUGACUUAGCUAGGUCCUGCAGAUGCAAAAUACAGUAUGCGAGACGAUUAGAUUAUCAUUUUUUUUCAAAAGGGGGAGAUCCCCGGCCUCUGCAUCAGAAUGAUGCAUACGGCCACAUUUAUUAUGAAGUAAAUCAGUUCAACAAAGGUCUCAAAGUCUCAAGCAAAAGAACAAAAGAUGCUCAUAAAGAGCUAAAGAGUACAAAUAAAGCCACAACCGGCUGGCAAAAGAAAGAUAGGAAAACUAAUUGACUAUCUUAUUACAUGACCGCCAUCCAAACCGGUUGAAAAUAGCCCGUGCUACCAUCUCCCAUCGGAUAGAUCCAGUAACCAAACGCUCCCUGGCCUCCGUCGGAGUGAGUAGCGACCACAUACGGAUCAACGCAGUGGCACGGAAGGUAACCUGCAAAAAAUGAGUAUUUGUUAUUCUGUUAGAGACCAAAUCAUUUCUGCAAUUCCAGAUAGCCUAUAAUAAAGCACAUACUCCUACACGAAUAUGUCUCGCUGUUUCGGAAUCUAUCCCAUCAAGCCACGUCCCAAAUAACAUGUUGAUAUUAUUCGGAGGAGCAAUAUUAAAGGCUAUGUGAACUGACCGCCACAAAAUUUUUGCCAACGGGCAAUCAAGAAAGAGGUGUCUGAUGGAUUCAUCCCGAUCACAAAAACUACAUCUAGUAGAUCCAGUCCAGUUGCGUUUUACCAAGUUAUCCUUAGUUAAAAUGACUUGUUUGUGUACAAACCACAAAAACACUUUAACUCUCAAGGGUACUUUGACAUACCAAACAUGUUUCGAAGUAGGAAUAGAGCUAGAAUUAAUAACAUCCAGAUACAUGGAUUUAACCAUAAACUCUUCAUUCCUAGUUAGCUUCCAACACAACUGAUCGGGUCAUUGAUAAAGCUGAACAUCCAUCAAUCUUCUCACAAGAUGGAGUCAAGCUUCCCAACGGUUUCCGGCUAGCGCUCUCCUCAAGUGAAUAUUGAGAGGCGUGGACUGAAACACUGUCUCAACGGAUGCGUCUCUCUGUUGAACAAUGCUAUAAAGAGAAGGAUAUUGAAGCGGGAGGGGUGUGUCCUGAAGGAAAUAUGCCCUAGAGGAAAUAAUAAAGUUAUUAUUUAUUUCCUUAUUUCAUGAUAAAUGUUUAUUAUUCAUGCUAGAAUUGUAUUAACCGGAAACAUAAUACAUGUGUGAAUACAUAGACAAACAGAGUGUCACUAGUAUGCCUCUACUUGAGUAGCUCGUUGAUCAAAGAUGGUUAUGUUUCCUAACCAUAGACAUGAGUUGUCAUUUGAUAAACGGGAUCACAUCAUUAGGAGAAUGAUGUGAUUGACUUGACCCAUUCCGUUAGCUUAGCACUUGAUCAUUUUAGUUUACUGCUAUUGCUUUCUUCAUGACUUAUACAUGUUCCUAUGACUAUGAGAUUAUGCAACUCCCGAUUACCGGAGGAACACUUUGUGUGCUACCAAACGUCACAACGUAACUGGGUGAUUAUAAAGGUGCUCUACAGGUGUCUCCGAUGGUACUUAUUGAGUUGGCAUAGAUCGAUAUUAGAAUUUGUCACUCCGAUUGUCGGAGAGGUAUCUCUGGGCCCUCUCAGUAAUGCACAUCACCAUAAGCCUUGCAAGCAAUGUAACUAAUGAGUUAGUUGCGGGAUGAUGCAUUACCGAACGAGUAAAGAGACUUGUUGGUAACGAGAUUGAACUAGGUAUUGAGAUACCGACGAUCGAAUCCCGGGCAAGUAACAUACCGAUGACAAAGGGAACAACGUAUGCUGUUAUGCGGUUCGAUCGAUAAAGAUCUUCGUAGAAUAUGUAGGAGCCAAUAUGGGCAUCCAGGUUCCGCUAUUGGUUAUUGACCAGAGAAGUGUCUCGGUCAUGUCUACAUAGUUCUCGAACCCGUAGGGUCCGCACGCUUAACAUUCGUUGACGAUAUAGUAUUUAUGAGUUAUGUAUGUUGGUAACCGAAUGUUGUUAGGAGUUCCGGAUAAGAUCACGGACAUGACGAGGAACUCUGGAAUGGUCCGGAGAUAAAGUUUGAUAUAUGGGAUAAUAGUGUUUGGUCUCCGGAAGGGUUCCGGAAUUCACCGGAAGGGGUUCCGGAUGUUUCCCGAAAUGUUUGGGUAUGAGAACACUUGAUUUGGGCCAAUGGGGAAAGCCCACAAGGUUUUUGGAAAGCGCAAAAAGGAAGUUUUGCGGAGUCCAGGGGCCAGAUGUCAGGGUCCCUGGCGUCUGGGUCCAGACGCCGGGAACCCUGGCGUCUGGCCCUGGAGUUCGAGAAGGACUCUUGCCUUUCGGGUGAAACCGACUUUGUGGAGGCUUUUACUCCAAGUUUCGACCCCAAGGAUCAACAUAUAAAUAGAGGGGUAGGGCUAGCACCCAAGACACAUCAAGAAACACCAAGCCGUGUGCUGGCAACCCAGUCCCCUCUAGUUUAUCCUCCGUAAUAGUUUUCGUAGUGCUUAGGCGAAGCCCUGCGGAGAUUGUUCUUCACCAACACCAUCACCACGCCGUUGUGCUGCCGGAACUCAUCUACUACUUCGCCCCUCUUGCUGGAUCAAGAAGGCGAGGACAUCAUCGAGUUGAAUGUGUGCUGAACGCGGAGGUGCCAUACGUUCGGUACUUGAUCGGGACAGAUCGUGAAGGUGUACAACUACCUCAACGGCGUUGAUAAACGCUUCCGCUUUCGGUCUACGAGGGUACGUAGAUAUACUCUCCCCUCUCGUUGCUAUGCAUCACCAUGAUCUUGCGUGUGUGUAGGAUUUUUUUUGAAAUUACUACGUUCCCCAACAGUGGCAUCUGAGCCAGGUUUAUGCAUAGAUGUUAUAUGCAUGAGUAGAACACCAGUGAGUUAUGGGCGAUACAAGUCAUACUGCUUACCAGUAUGUCAUACUUUGGUUUGGCGGUAUUGUUGGAUGAAGCGACCCGGACCGACAUUAGGCGUACACUUACGCGAGACUGGUUCUACCAACGUGCUUUGCACACAGGUGGCUGGCCGGUGUCAGUUUCUCUAACUUUAGUUGAACCGAGUGUGACUACGCCCGGUCCUUGUUGAAGGUUAAAACAACACUAACUCGACGAAAUAUCGUUGUGGUUUUGAUGCGUAGGUAAGAACGGUUCUUGCUCAACCCAUAGCAGCCACGUAAAACUUGCAACAACAAAGUAGAGGACCGUUUUUGCAGGGCAUGUUGUGAUGUGAUAUGGUCAAGGCAUGAUGCUAUAUUUUAUUGUAUGAGAUGAUCAUGUUUUGUAACAGAGUUAUCGGCAACUGGCAGGAGCCAUAUGGUUGUCGCUUUAUUGUACGCAAUGCAAUCACCCUAUAAUUGCUUUACUUUAUCACUAAGCGGUAGCGAUAGUCGUAGAAGCAAUAGUUGGCGAGACAAAAACGAUGCUACGAGGAGAUCAAGGUGUCGCGUCGGUGACGAUGGUGAUCAUGACGGUGCUUUGGAGAUGGAGAUCAUGGGCACAAGAUGAUGAUGGCCAUGUCAUAUCACUUAUAUUGAUUGCAUGUGAUGUUUUAUUCUGCUUGAUUGAUGGUAGCAUUAUAAGAUGAUCUCUCACUAAAUUUCAAGGUACAAGUGUUCUCCCUGAGUAUGCACUGUUUCCAAAGUUCGUCGUGCCGAGAUACCACAUGAUGAUCGGGUGUGAUAAGCUCUACGUUCACAUACAACGGGUGCAAGCCAAUUUUGCACACGCAGAAAUACUCGGGUUAAACUUGACGAGCCUAGCAUAUGCAGAUAUGGCCUCGGAACACUGAGACCGAAAGGUCGAGCGUGAAUCAUAUAGUAGAUAUGAUCUACAUAGUGAUGUUCACCAUUGAAAACUACUCCAUUUCACGUGAUGAUCGGUCAUGGUUUAGUUGAUUUGGAUCACGUAAUCACUUAUAUGAUUAGAGGGAUGUAUAUCUAAGUGGGAGUUCUUAAAUAUGAUUAAUUGAACUUUAAUUUAUCAUGAACUUAGUACCUGAUAGUACCUGGAGAGAGUGUUGUACCCCAGCAUAAGCUGGUGGUUGCUGACUUCCGCUUUCGGAUUCGUCUCUAGCGGGAUAAGAGUGCCAAAGUCGCUAGAACGAAUUGGUGGAAGCUCAAGGGGGAGGCAGCUCAGGUGUUCAAGGAGAGGGUCAUUAAGGAGGGCCCUUGGGAGGAAGGAGGGGAUGCGGACAAUGUGUGGAUGAAGAUGGCGACUUGCAUUCGUAAGGUGGCCUCGGAGGAGUUUGGAGUGUCCAGGGGAAGGAGAAGCGAAGAUAAGGAUACCUGGUGGUGGAAUGAUGAUGUCCAGAAGGCGAUUAAAGAGAAGAAAGAUUGCUUCAGACGCCUAUACCUGGAUAGGAGCGCAGACAACAUAGAUAAGUACAAGAUGGCGAAGAAGGCCGCAAAGCGAGCUGUUGGUGAAGCAAGGGGUCGGGCAUAUGAGGAGCUCUACCAACGGUUAGGCACGAAGGAAGGUGAAAGGGACAUCUAUAAGAUGGCCAAGAUCCGAGAGAGGAAGACGAGGGAUAUUGGCCAAGUCAAAUGCAUUAAGGACGGAGCAGGCCAACUCUUGGUGAAGGACGAGGAGAUUAAGCAUAGAUGGUGGGAGUACUUCGACAAGCUGUUCAAUGGGGAGAAUGAGAGUUCUACCAUUGAACUGGGAGACUCCUUUGAUGAGACCAGCAUGCGUUUUGUGCGGCGAAUCCAGGAGUCUGAGGUGAAGGAGGCUUUAAAAAGGAUGAGAGGAGGCAAGGCGAUGGGCCCUGAUUGUAUCCCCAUUGAGGUGUGGAAAGGUCUCGGGGACAUAGCGAUAGUAUGGCUAACCAAGCUUUUCAACCUCAUUUUUCGGGCAAACAAGAUGCCAGAAGAAUGGAGACGGAGUAUAUUAGUACCAAUCUUCAAGAACAAGGGGGAUGUUCAGAGUUGUACUAAUUACUGUGGAAUUAAGCUGAUGAGCCAUACAAUGAAGCUAUGGGAGAGAGUCAUUGAGCACCGCUUAAGAAGAAUGACAAGCGUGACCAAAAAUCAGCUUGGUUUCAUGCCUGGGAGGUCGACCAUGGAAGCCAUUUUCUUGGUACGACAACUUAUGGAGAGAUAUAGGGAGAAAAAGAAGGACUUGCAUAUGGUGUUCAUUGACUUGGAGAAGGCCUAUGAUAAGAUAUCGCGGAAUGUCAUGUGGUGGGCCUUGGAGAAACACAAAGUCCCAGCAAAGUACAUUACCCUCAUCAAGGACAUGUACAAUAAUGUUGUGACAAGUGUUCGAACAAGUGAUGUUGACACCGAUGACUUCCCGAUUAAGAUAGGACUGCAUCAGGGGUCAGCUUUGAGCCCUUAUCUUUUUGCAUUGGUGAUGGAUGAGGUCACAAGGGAUAUACAAGGAGAUAUCCCAUGGUGUAUGCCCUUUACUGAUGAUGUGGUGCUAGUUGACGAUAGUCGGACGGGGGUAAAUAGGAAGUUAGAGUUAUGGAGAUAAACCUUGGAAUCGAAAGGGUUUAGGCUUAGUAGAACUAAAAGCGAGUACAUGAUGUGCGAUUUCAGUACUACUAGGUGUGAGGAGGAGGAGGUUAGCCUUGAUGGCCAGGUGGUACCUCGGAAGAACACCUUUCGGUAUUUGGGGUCAAUGUUGCAGGAGGAUGGGGGUAUUGAUGAAGAUGUGAACCAUCGAAUCAAAGCCGGAUGGAUGAAGUGGCGCCAAGCUUCUGGCAUUCUCUAUGACAAGAGAGUGCCACAAAAGUUAAAAGGCAAGUUCUACAGGACGGCGGUUCGACCCGCAAUGUUGUAUGGCGUGGAGUGUUGGCCGACUAAAAGGCGACAUGUUCAACAGUUAGGUGUGGCGGAGAUGCGUAUGUUGAGAUGGAUGUGUGGCCACACGAGGAAGGAUCGAGUCCGGAAUGAUGAUAUACAAGAUAGAGUUGGGGUAGCACCAAUUGAGGAGAAGCUUGUCCAACAUCGUCUGAGAUGGUUUGGGCAUAUUCAGCACAGGCCUCCAGAAGCUCCAGUGCAUAGCGGACGGCUAAAGCGUGCGGAGAAUGUCAAGAGAGGGUGGGGUAGACCGAGUUUGACAUGGGAGGAGUCCGUUAAGAGAGACCUGAAGGAUUGGAGUAUCACCAAAGAGCUAGCUAUGGAUAGGGGUGCGUGGAAGCUUGCGUGGAAGCUUGCUAUCCAUGUGCCAGAGCCAUGAGUUGGUUGCGAGAUCUUAUGGGUUUCACCUCUAGCCUACCCCAACUUGUUUGGGACUAAAGGCUUUGUUGUUGUUAUUGUUGUUGUUGUUGUUGUUGUUGUUGUUGUUGUUGUUGUUGUUGUUUAUGUUGUUGUAGAUAGAUGGCACAUGUUGUUGUUCCGUUGAAUUUUAAUGUGUUCCUUGAGAAAGCAAAGUUGAAAGAUGAUGGUAGCAAUUACACGGACUGGGUCCGUAACUUGAGGAUUAUCCUCAUUGCUGCACAGAAGAAUUACGUCCUGGAAGCACCGCCAGGUGCCAAACCCGCUGCAAGAGCAACGCCAGAUGUUAUGAACGUCUGGCAGAACAAAGCUGGUGACUACUCGAUAGUUCAGUGUGCCAUGCUUUAUGGCUUAGAACCGGGACUUCAACAACGUUUUGAACGUCAUGGAGCAUGUGAGAUGUUCCAGGAGUUGAAGUUAAUAUUUCAAGCAAAUGCCCAGACUGAGAGAUAUGAAGUAUUCAAUAAGUUCUACAACUGCAAGAUGGAGGAGAAUAGUUCUGUCAGUGAACAUAUACUCAGAAUGUCUGGGUACCAUAACCACUUGACUCAACUGGGAGUUAAUCUUCCUGUUAAUGUGUCAUUAACAUAGUUCUUCAAUCACUGCCACCAAGCUACAAGAGCUUCAUGGUGAACUAUAAUAUGCAAGGGAUGGAUAAGACGAUUCCCGAGCUCUUCGCAAUGCUAAAAGCUGCGGAGGUAGAAAUCAAGAAGGAGCAUCAAGUGUUGAUGGUCAAUAAGACCAUCAGUUUCAAGAAAAACGGUAAAGGGAAGAAGAAAGGGAACUUUAAGAAGAACGACAAACAAGUUGCUGCUCAAGAGAAGAAACCCAAGUCUGGACCUAAGCUUGAGACUGAGUGCUUCUACUGCAAAGGGACUGGUCACUGGAAGCAGAACUGCCCCAAGUAUUUGGCAGAUAAGGAGGAUGGCAAGGUGAACAAAGGUAUAUGUGAUAUACAUGUUAUUGAUGUGUACCUUACUAAAGCUCGCAGUAGCACCUGGGUAUUUGAUACUGGUUCUGUUGCUAAUAUUUGCAACUCGAAACAUGGACUACAGAUUAAGCGAAGAUUGGCUAAGGACGAGGUGACGAUGCGCUUGGGAAAUGGUUCCAAAGUCGAUGUGAUCGCCGUCGGCACCCUACCUCUACAUCUACCUUCAGGAUUAGUUUUAGACCUGAAUAAUUGUUAUUUGGUGCAAGCGUUGAGCAUGAACAUUAUGUCUGGAUCUUGUUUGAUGCGAGACAGUUAUUCAUUUAAAUCAGAGAAUAAUGGUUGUUCUAUUUAUAUGAUUAAUAUCUUUUAUGGUCAUGCACCCUUGAAGAGUGGUCUAUUUUUAAUGUAUCUCGAUAGUAGUGAUACACAUAUUCAUAAUAUUGAAGCUAAAAGAUGCAGAGUUGAUAAUGAUAGUGCAACUUAUUUGUGGCACUGAUAUGUCUCCAACGUAUCUAUAAUUUUUGAUUAUUCCAUGCUAUUAUAUUAUCAACUUUGGAUGUUUAUGGGCUUUAUUAUACACUUUUAUAUUAUUUUUGGGACUAACCUAUUAACCCAGAGCCCAGUGCCAAUUCCUGUUUUUCCCCUUGUUUCAGUGUUUCACGGAAAAGGAAAAUCAAACGGAGUCCAAUUGACCUGAAACUUCACGGAACUUAUUUUUGGAUCAGAAGAAGCCCAGAAGACUUGAAGUGCACGUUAGGGGAUCAACGAGGAGGCCACGAGGUAGGGGGGCGCGCCCACCCCCCUGGGCACGCCCUCCACCCUCGUGCCCCCCCUGACGCACUUCUUCCUCCUAUAUAUCUCCAUAUACCCUAAAACGAUCGGGGAGCACAAUAGAUCGGGAGUUCCGCCGCCAGAAGCCUCCAUAGCCACCGAAAGCCAAUCUAGACCCGUUCCGGCACCCUGCCGGAGGGGGAAUCCCUCUCCGGCGGCCAUCUUCAUCAUCCCGGUGCUCUCCAUGACGAGGAGGGAGUAGUUCUCCCUCGGGGCUGAGGGUAUGUACCAGUAGCUAUGCGUUUGAUCUCUCUCUCUCUCUCGUGUUCUUGAGGUGAUACGAUCUUGAUGUAUCGCGAGCUUUGCUAUUAUAGUUGGAUCUUAUGAUGUUUUCUUCCCCCUCUACUCUCUUGUAAUGGUUUGAGUUUACUCUUUGAAAUUAUCUUAUCGGAUUGAGUCUUUAAAGAUUUGAGAACACUUGAUGUAUGUCUUGCCGUGCGUAUCUGUGGUGACAAUGGGAUACCACGUGAUUCACUUGAUGUAUGUUUGAUACGUCCAUUUUGCAUCAUGCUUUUAUAUCGAUAUUUAUUGCAUUAUGGGCUGUUAUUUCACAUUAUGUCACAAUACUUAUGGCUAUUCUCUCUUAUUUUACAAGGUUUACAUAAGGAGGGAGAAUCCCGGCAGGUGGAAUUCUGGGCUGGAAAAGGAGCAAAUAUUAGAGACCUAUUCUGCACAACUCCAAAAGUCCUGAAACUCCACGGAACACCUUAUAAUAAAUAAUGAAGAAUCCUCGCCAAAGAUGAAGACCAGGGGGCCCACACCCUUCUCACGAGGGUGGGGGUGCCCCUGCCUCGUGGGCCCUCUGGUGGCUCUCCGAUGACCAUCUUCUCCUAUAUGAAGUCUUUCGUCGAGAAAAAAAAAGAAGCAACCUUUCGGGAGAAACUCCGCCGCCAUGAGGCGGAAGCUUGGCGAGUCCAAUCUAGAGCUCCGGCCGAGCUGUUCUGUCGGGGAAACUUCCCUCCCGGAGGGGGAAUCAUCGCCAUCGUCAUCACCAACGCUCCUCUCAUCUGGAGAGGGCAAUCUCCAUCAACAUCUUCAUCAGCACCAUCUCAUCUCAAAACCCUAGUUCAUCUCUUGUAUCCGAUUCUUGUCUUCAAGUCCAGGAUUGGUGCUAGUAGGUUGCUAGUAGUGUUAAUUACUCCUUGUAGUUGAUGCUAGUUGGUUUAAUUGGUGGAAGAUCAUAUCUUCAGAUUCUUUAUGCAUAUUAAUACCCCUCUGAUUAUGAACAUGAAUAUGCUUUGUGAGUAGUUACGUUUGUUCCUGAGGACAAGGGAGAAGUCUUGCUAUUAGUAGUCAUGUGAAUUUGGUAUUCAUUCGAUAUUUUGAUGAGAUGUAUGUUGUCUAGCCUCUAGUGGUGUUAUGUGAACGUUGACUACAUAAUACUUCACCAUUAUUUGGGCCUAGAGGAAGGCAUUCGGAAGUAAUAAGUAGAUGAUGGGUUGCUAGAGUGACAGAAGCUUAAACCCUAGUUUAUGCGUUGCUUCGUAAGGGGCUGAUUUGGAUCCAUAUGUUUCAUGCUAUGGUUAGGUUUACCUUAAUACUUUUGUUGUAGUUGUGGAUGCUUGCAAUAGAGGUUAAUCAUAAGUGGGAUGCUUGUUCAAGUAAGAACAUCACCCAAGCACCGGUCCACCCACAUAUCAAAUUAUCCAAGUACCGAACGUGAAUCAUAUGAACGUGAUGAAAACUAGCUUGACGAUAUUCCCAUGUGUCCUCGGGAGCGCUUUUCCUUAUAUAAGAGUUUGUCCAUGCUUGUCCUUUGCUACAAAAAGGAUUGGGCCACCUUGCUGCACUUUAUUUACUUUUGUUACUUGUUGCUCGUUACAAAUUAUCUCAUUACAAACUAUCUGUUACCACUUAUUUCAGUACUUGGAGAGAAUACCUUGCUGAAAACCGUUUAUCAUUUCCUUCUGCUCCUCGUUGGGUUCGACACUCUUACUUAUCGAAAGGACUAUGAUAGAUCCCCUAUACUUGUGGGUCAUCAAGACUCUUUUCUGGUGCCGUUGCCGGGGAGUGAAGUGCCUUUGGUAGGGAAAAAUUUAUAUAGUGUGCUGAAAUUUACUGUCACUUGUUACUAUGGAAAGUAAUCCUCUGAGGGGCUUGUUCGGGGUAUCUUCACCCCGACCAGUAGAGCACAUAGUUUCUCCUCAACCUACUGAACCUAUUGAAAAUGAAAUUCCUUAUGAGUAUCCUUCGAGUAUAAUAGAAAAACUGCUAGCUAAUCCUUUUACAGGAGAUGGAACAAAGCAUCCUCAUGAACACCUAAUAUAUGUGGAUGAAGUUUGUGGAUUAUUUAAGCUUGUAGGUAUUUCCGAUGAUGUUGCUAAGAAGAAGGUAUUCCCUUUAUCUUUGAAGGGAGACACAUUGACAUGGUAUAGGCUAUGUGAUGAUAUGGGAUCAUGGAACUAUAGAAGGUUGGAAUUGGAAUUUCAUCAAAAGUAUUACCCUAUGCAUCUUGUUCAUCGUGAUCGCAAUUAUAUAUAUAAUUUUUGGCCUCGUGAAGGAGAAAGCAUCGCUCAAGCUUGGGGGAGGCUUAAAUCAAUGUUAUAUUCAUGCCCCAAUCAUGAUCUUCCAAGAGAAACAAUUCUUCAAAAAAUUUAUGCUCGGCUUUCUGAUAACAAUCGCACCAUGCUUGAUACUUCUUGUGAUGUCUCUUUUAUGAUGAAGACUAUUGGAUUUAGAUGGGAUUAAUUGGAUAGAAUUAAACGCAACUCUGAAGAUUGGGACCUCGACAAUGGUAAGGAGUCAGGUAUGACACCUAAGUUUGAUUGUGUUAAAUCUUUCAUGGAUACCGAUGUUUUCCGUAAGUUUAGCACUAAAUAUGGACUUGAUUCUGAGAUAGUAGCUUGUUUCUGUGAAUCUUUUGCUACUUAUGUUGAUCUCCCUAAGGAGAAGUGGUUUAAAUAUCAUCCUCCCAUAGAAGUAAAAGUAGUUGCACCUAUUAAAGUUGAAGAAAAGAAUGUCACUUAUAAUGAUCCUAUUGUUCCUACUUAUGUUGAGAAACCACCUUUCCCUGUUAGGAUAAAGGAUCAUGCUAAAGCUUCAACUGUAGUUCGUAAAAGUAAUAUUAAAACAUAUACACCUCCUGAGCAAGUUAAAGUUGAACCUAAUAUUGCUAUUGUUAAAGAGCUCUUGUCUGAUAAUAUUGAUGGGCAUGUUAUUCAGUUAUGCGGUGAAACUGCUAGAAUUGCUAAACCUUGUGCUAAAGAUAAACAUAGACCUGUGGUAGGUGUGCCUGUUAUUUCUGUUAAAAUAGGAGAUCAUUGUUAUCAUGGCUUAUGUGAUAUGGGUGCUAGUGCUAGUGUUAUACCUUAUGACUUGUAUAAAGAAAUCAAGCAUGAAAUUGCACCUGUUGAGUUAGAAGAUAUUGAUGUCACAAUUAAACUUGCUAAUAGAGAUACUAUUUCAGCAAUGGGAAUUGUUAGAGAUGUUGAAGUCUUGUGCGGGAAAACUAAAUAUCCUGCUGAUUUUCUUGUUCUUAGUUCUUCACAAGAUAACUUUUGUCCCGUUAUAUUUGGUAGACCCUUCUUGAAUACAGUUAAUGCUAGGAUAGACUGCGAAUAGAAUGUUGUUACUAUUGGCUUGGAUGAUAUGACUCAUGAGUUUAAUUUCUCUAAAUUUAGUAAACAACACCGUGAAGAAGAAUUGCCUAGUAAGGAUGAAAUUAUUGGUCUUGCUUCUAUUGUCGUACCUCCUAAUGAUCCUUUAGAACAAUAUUUGCUAGACCAUGAGAAUGAUAUGUUUAUGAAUGAAAGAAGGGAAAUAGAUGAAGUAUUCUUUAAACAAGAACCUAUGCUAAAACACAAUUUGCCUGUUGAAAUCCUAGGGGAUCCUCCUCCACCUAAGGGUGAUCCCAUGUUUGAGCUUAAACCGUUGCCUGAUAAUCUUAAAUAUGCUUAUCUUGAUGAAAAGAAGAUAUAUCCUGUUAUUAUUAGUGCUAACCUUUCAGAGCAUGAAGAAGAAAGAUUAUUGAAAACUCUGAAGAAGCACCGUGCUGCUAUUGGAUAUACUCUUGAUGAUCUUAAGGGCAUUAGUCCCACUCUAUUUCAACAUAAAAUAAAUUUGGAAGCAGAUGCCAAACUAGUUCGUGAUCCUCAACGAUGUCUGAAUCCUAAAAUGAAAGAAGUGGUAAGAAAAGAAAUACUAAAGCUUCUAGAGGCAGGUAUAAUUUAUCCCGUUGCUGAUAGUCAGUGGGUAAGUCAUGUUCAUUGUGUCCCUAAGAAGGGAGGUAUUACUGUUGUUCCUAAUGAUAAAGAUGAAUUGAUUCCAUAAAGAAUUAUUACCGGUUAUAGGAUGGUAAUUGAUUUCCGCAAAUUAAAUAAGGCUACUAAGAAAGAUCAUCACCCCUUAUCUUUUAUCGAUCAAAUGCUAGAAAGAUUAUGCAAACAUACACAUUACUGCUUUCUAGAUGGUUAUUCUGGUUUCUCUCAAAUACCUGUGUCGGCUAAAGAUCAAUCAAAGACUACUUUUACAUGCCCUUUUGGUACUUUUGCUUAUAGACGUAUGCCUUUUGGUUUAUGUAAUGCAUCUGCUACCUUUCAAAGAUGCACGAUGGCUAUAUUCUCUGACUUUUGUGAAAAGAUUUGUGAGGUUUUCAUGGAUGACUUUUUCGUCUAUGGGUCUUCUUUUGAUGAUUGCUUGAGCAAUCUUGAUCGAGUUUUGCAGAGAUGUGAAGAAACUAAUCUUGUCUUGAAUUGGGAAAAGUGCCACUUUAUGGUUAACGAAGGUAUUGUCUUGGGGCAUAAAGUUUCUGAAAAAGGUAAUGAAGUUGAUAAAGCCAAGGUUGAUGCUAUUGAAAAGAUGCCAUGUCCCAAGGACAUCAAAGGUAUAAGAAGUUUCCUUGGUCACGCCGGAUUUUAUAGGAGGUUCAUCAAGGACUUCUCAAAAAAAUUUCAGCCUCUGACUAAUUUAUUACAAAAAGAUAUACCAUUUGUCUUUGAUGAUGAUUGUGUAGAAGCAUUUGAAAUACUUAAGAAAGCAUUAGUCUCUGCACCUAUUGUUCGGCCACCUGAUUGGAAUUUACCCUUUGAAAUUAUGUGUGAUGCUAGUGAUUAUGCUGUAGGUGCUGUUUUAGGGCAAAGAGUUGAUAAGAAACUAAAUGGUAUCCAUUAUGCUAGUAAACUCUAGACAAUGCUCAAAGAAAUUAUGCUACCACUGAAAAAGAACUUUUAGCAGUUGUAUUUGCUUGUGAUAAGUUCAGACCUUAUAUUGUUGAUUCUAAAGUAACUAUCCACACUGAUCAUGAUGCUAUUAAAUAUCUUAUGGAAAAGAAAGAUGCUAAACCUAGACUUAUCAGAUGGGUUCUCUUGCUACAAGAAUUUGAUUUGCAUAUUGUUGAUAGAAAAGGAGCUGAAAACCCCGUUGCAGACAACUUAUCUAGGUUAGAGGAUGUUCUUGAUGACCCACUAACUAUUGAUGAUAGUUUUCCUGAUGAACAAUUAAAUGUCAUAAGUACUUCUCGUAGUACCCCUUGGUAUGCUGAUUAUGCUAAUUACAUAGUUGCUAAAUUUAUACCACCUAGCUUCACAUACCAACAAAAGAAAAAGUUCUUCUAUGAUUUGAUACAUUACUUUUGGGAUGACCCACAUCUUUAUAAAGAAGGAGUAGAUGGUAUUAUUAGACGUUGUGUACCUGAGCAUGAACAUGAACAGAUCCUACGUAAGUGCCACUCCGAAACUUAUGGAGGACACCACACGGGAGAUAGAACUGCACAUAAGGUAUUGCAAUCCGGUUUUUAUUAACCUACUCUCUUCAAGGAUGCCCGUAAGUUUGUCCUAUCUUGUGAUGAAUGUCAAAUAAUUGGUAAUAUUAGUAGACGUCAAGAAAUGCCUAUGAAUUAUUCACUUGUUAUUGAACCGUUUGAUGUUUGGGGCUUUGAUUAUAUGGGACCUUUUCCUGCCUCUAAUGGAUAUACACAUAUUUUAGUUGCUAUUGAUUAUGUUACUAAGUGGGUAGAAGCUAUUCCAACUAGUCAUGCUGAUCAUAACACUUCUAUUAAAAUGCUUAAAGAAGUUAUUUUUUCCGAGGUUUGGAGUCCCUAGAUAUUUAAUGACUGAUGGUGGUUCACAUUUUAUUCAUGGUGCUUUCCGUAAAAUGCUUGCUAAAUAUGACGUCAAUCAUAGAAUUGCAUCUCCGUAUCACCCACAGUCUAGUGGUCAAGUAGAAUUGAGUAAUAGAGAACUCAAAUUAAUUUUGCAAACGAUUGUCAAUAGGUCUAGAAAGAAUUGGUCCAAGAAACUUGAUGGUGCAUUAUGGGCCUAUAGAACUGCAUAUAAAAAUCCUAUGGGUAUGUCUCCGUAUAAAAUGGUAUAUGGAAAAGCAUGUCACUUACCUCUCGAACUAGAACAUAAGGCAUAUUGGGCUAUUAAAGAGCUCAACUAUGAUUUCAAACUUGCUGGUGAAAAGAGGUUAUUUGAUAUUAGCUCACUUGAUGAAUGGAGAACCCAAGCUUAUGAAAAUGCCAAGUUGUUUAAAGAAAAGGUUAAAAGAUGGCAUGACAAAAGGAUACAAAAGCGUGAGUUUAAUGUAGGUGAUUAUGUAUUGCUAUACAACUCUCGUUUAAGAUUUUUUGCAGGGAAACUUCUCUCUAAAUGGGAAGGCCCCUAUGUUAUCGAGGAGGUCUAUCAUUCUGGUGCCAUAAAAAUCAACAACUUCGAAGGCACAAAUCCGAAGAUGGUAAACGGUCAAAGAAUCAAACAUUAUAUCUCAGGUAAUCCCAUAAAUGUUGAAACCAAUAUUAUUGAAACCGUAACCCCGGAGGAAUACAUAAGGGACACUUUCCAGAACGUUUCAGACUCCGAAAAGGAAUAGGUAUGUGGUACGGUAAGUACACCGACUCCAAAACAAUUUUUAAGGCAAUAUUUCUCUGUUUUGGAAUAUUUAGAAAAAUAGAAAAUUAAGUAGCAGUCCGGGAAGGACACGAGGGCCUCACGAGGGUGGAGGGCGCGCCCCCUACCUCGUGAGCUCCUCGUGUGCCUUCCGGACUCCGUUUUCUUGCACGAUACGUAUUUUGGUCGGUAAAAAUUAACUAUAUAAUAUUCCGGGGUUUUUGACUCCCGUAUCACGCAAAAAUCUCUUCUCUUUGUUUCGAGCUAUUUUCUGUUAGGGUUUUCAAGACCAGGCACUAUGUCGUCUCCCUCCUCCUCCAACCAUGAGGGCAAUGAUGCUUGGCUAAUGAAGAUAGAGCUAAAGAGAGAAGAACCUAUGGAUAUCAAUAAGGAUGAAGGGAUCAAGAAGGCCGUGGAGGACCAAGUCCCAGCAACAGAAGACACCCUUCAACUGGAUCAUAAUCUUCUUAUCCCUACAAAAAUCGAAGCUUUCAAGAUGAUUGAGUUGGCUCGUAUACAAAAUAAGUAUCUCACACGUGAAAAUAUUUUGUUGAAGGAGCAUAUCCUCGCACUCAAGGGCAUUAUCCGCAAGUUAGAAGACCUCCUACGCUCGAUGUGCGACUAUCCAUCAUCAACAAUACCUCCACCUUAUUCACCAACCAAGGAGAUAUAAUAACAUGGGUAUGGGCACUCCCCUUGGCAACCGCCAAGCUUGGGGGAGGUGCCCCGGUAUCGUAUCACCCUCACCUUUAUCUUUACCGUUUUCCUUAGUUCGAUCCUGUUGGAAAUAUGCCCUAGAGGCAAUAAUAAAUUGGUUAUUUCCUUGUUCAUGAUAAUCGUUUAUUAUCCAUGCUAUUAUUGUAUGGAUAGGAAACUCAGAUACAUGUGUGGAUACAUAGACAACACCAUGUCCCUAGUAAGCCUCUAGUUGACUAGCUCGUUGAUCAAUUGAUGGUUACGGUUUCCUGACCAUGGACAUUGGAUGUCGUUGAUAACGGGAUCACAUCAUUAGGAGAAUCAUGUGAUGGACAAGACCCAAUCCUAAGCCUAGAACAAAGAUCGUGUAGUUCGUAUGCUAAAGCUUUUCUAAUGUCAAGUAUCAUUUCCUUAGACCAUGAGAUUGUGCAACUCCCGGAUACCGUAGGAAUGCUUUGGGUGUGCCAAACGUCACAACGUAACUGGGUGGCUAUAAAGGUACACUACGGGUAUCUCUGAAAGUGUCUGUUGGGUUGGCACGAAUCGAGACUGGGAUUUGUCACUCCGUGUGACGGAGAGGUAUCUCUGGGCCCACUCGGUAGGACAUCAUCAUAUGCGCAAUUUGACCAAGGAGUUGAUCACGGGAUGAUGUGUUACGGAACGAGUAAAGAGACUUGCCAGUAACGAGAUUGAACAAGGUAUCGGAUACCGACGAUCGAAUCUCGGGCAAGUACAAUACCGCUAGACAAAGGGAAUUGAAUACGGGAUUGGUUGAAUCCUCGACAUCAUGGUUCAUCCGAUGAGAUCAUCGUGGAACAUGUGGGAGCCAACAUGGGUAUCCAGAUCCCGCUGUUGGUUAUUGGCCGGAGAGGUGUCUCGGUCAUGUCUGCAUGGUUCCCGAACCCGUAGGGUCUACACACUUAAGGUUCGAUGACGCUAGGGUUAUAGGGAAUAGAUAUACGUGGUUACCGAAUGUUGUUCAGAGUCCCGAAUGAGAUCUCGGACAUCACUAGGAGUUCCGGAAUGGUCCAGAGGUAAAGAUUUAUAUAUGGGAAGUCCUGUUUUGGUCACCGGAAAAGUUUCAGGUGCUAUCGGUAACGUACCGGGACCACCGGGAGGGUCCCGGGGGUCCACCAGGUGGGGCUACCUGCCCCAGAGGGCUGCGUGGGCCAAGUGUGAGAGGGGACCAGCCCCUGGUUGGCUGGUGCGCCCCCCCACCAGGGCCCAAGGCGAAGAGAGAAGAAAAAAAGGGGAAACCCUAGGCUCAGAUGGGCCUAAGGCCCACCUAGUGGUGCGCCCCCCUCUCUCCCCCCUUGGCCGCCCCCCCCCCCUAGAUGGGAUCUAGGGGUGGAAACCUAGGUGGGGGCGCAGCCCCUCCCUUUCCCCUAUAUAUAGUGGGGUUUUGGGCUGCCAUACACACGAGAACAUCUCCUUCUUGGCGCAGCCCUACCCCUCUCCCUCCUCGUCUCUUGCGGUGCUUGGCGAAGCCCUGCUGGAGUACCACGCUCCUCCACCACCACCACCACGCCAUCGUGCUGCUGCUGGACGGAGUCUUCCCCAACCUCUCCCUCUCUCCUUACUGGAUCAAGGCAUGGGAGACGUCACCGGGCUGCAUGUGUGUUGAACGCGGAGGUGCCGUCCGUUCGGCACUAGGAUCAUCGGUGAUUUGGAUCACGGCGAGUACGACUCCAUCAACCCCGUUCACUUGAAUGCUUCCGCUUAGUGAUCUACAAGGGUAUGUAGAUGCACUCUCCUUCCCCUCGUUGCUAGAUUACUCCAUAGAUUGAUCUUGGUGAUGUGUAGAAAAUUUUGAAUUUCUGCUACGUCACAACAGAUCCUAUUAGUAGUAUUUUUAUCUAGUAGUAUAAAGUUUAUGGCAUGAUCUAGUUGUGAGUUUUGCUUUAUUAUCCUUCUAUGUAAUCGAGUCCGUGAGCUAUAUAAUAAAGAUUAGUGUUGAGUCAAGGGCUUGAUUAUUUUGCCAUGAUCCUAAGUGAAUAAAAGAAAAGAGAAAGUAAUAAAAAGGAAACAAAGAGAUCAUAUGGAUCUCAUGGAGAGUAAUGAGCUCACAUAGAAAAAGUAUGAUGAAUAAAAGUUGUUGAGAGUUGACAAGCAUAGUUUUGGUCAUGGUUGCAAUCAAUAGGAAGUAAUAAAGAAAGAGAGGUCCUCACAUAUAGAUAUACUAUCUUGGACAUCUUUUAUGAUUGUGAGCACUCAUUAAAAUAUGACAUGCUAAAGAGUUGACAUUGGAUAAGGAAGACAACGUAAUGGGUUAUGUUUUCUUACAUCUGUGAUAAAUUAUAUUGUCUUGGAUCUUCCAACAUGUUGAGCUUGCUUUUCCCACUCAUGCUAGCCAAAUUCAUUGCACCAAGUAGAGAUACUACUUGUGCUUCCAAAUACCCUUAAACCAGUUUUGCCAUGAGAGUCCACCAUAUCUACCUAUGGAUUGAAUAAGAUCCUUCAAGUAAGUUGUCAUCGGUGCAAAGCAAUAAAAAUUGCUCUCUAAAUAUGUAUGAUUGAUUGGUGUGGGAGAAAUAAGCUUUAUACGAUCUUGUGAUGUGGAAGUAAUAAGAGUGACGGACUGCAUAAUAAAGGUUCAUAUCACAAGGGGCAAUAUAAAGUGACGUUCUUUCGCAUUAAGAUUUUGUGCAUCCAACCAUAAAAGCGCAUGGCAACCUCUGCUUCCCUCUGCGAAGGGCCUAUCUUUUAUCAUUACCUUCUACCUUAUGCAAGAGUCAUGGUGAUGCUCACCCUUCCUUUUUACACUUUAUCCUUUGGCAAGCACAGUAUGUUGGAAAGAUCCUAGUAUAUAUGGCUAAUUAGAUGUGAGUUUUCAUGAACUAUUACUGUUGACAUUACCCUUGAGGUAAAACGUUGGGAGGCAAGACUAUAAGCCCCUAUCUUUCUCUGUGUCCGAUUAAAACUCCAUACCCAUAAGUAUUGCGCGAGUGUCAGCAAUUGUGAAAGAUUAUAUGAUAGUUGAGUAUGUGGACUUGCUGAAAAGCUCUUAUACAUUGACUAUUUCCUAUGUUAUGAUAAACUGCAAUUGCUUCAAUGACCGAGAUUGUAGUUUGUUAGUUUUCAAUGAAGUUUACGAUUCAUACUUGAUAUUGUGAUUGAAUUACUCUAGCAUUAGAGAUCAUAUGACAAAAAUUAUAUAAGUUGCUGUUAUAAGAAUGAUCAUGAUGCCCUCAUGUCCGUAUUUUAUUUUUAUCGACACCUUCAUCUCUAAACAUGUGGACAUAUUUUUCGAUUUCGACUUUUCUCUUGAGGACAAGCGAGGUCUAAGCUUGGGGGAGUUGAUACGUCCAUUUUGCAUCAUGCUUUUAUAUCGAUAUUUAUUGCAUUAUGGGCUGUUAUUUCACAUUAUGUCACAACACUUAUGGCUUUUCUCUCUUAUUUUACAAGGUUUACAUAAGGAGGGAGAAUACCGGCAACUGGAAUUCUGGGCUGGAAAAUGAGCAAAUAUUAGAGACCUAUUCUGCACAACUCCAAAAGUCCUGAAACUCCACGGAACACCUUAUAAUAAAUAAUGAAAAAUCCUCGCCAAAGAUGAAGACCAUGGGGCCCACACCCUUCUCACGAGGGUGGGGGCGCCCCCCCCUAAGGCGCGCCCCCCUGCCUCGUGGGCCCCCUGGUGGCUCUCCGAUGACCAUCUUCUCCUAUAUGAAGUCUUUCGUCGAGAAAAAAAAUAAGAAGCAACCUUUCGGGACGAAACUCCGUCGCCACGAGGCGGAACCUUGGCGGAUCCAAUCUAGAGCUCUGGCAGAGUUGUUCUGCCGGGGAAACUUCCCUCCCAGAGGGGGAAUCAUCGCCAUCGUCAUCACCAACGCUCCUCUCAUCCGGAGAGGGCAAUCUCCAUCAACAUCUUCAUCAGCACCAUCUCAUCUCAAAACCCUAGUUCAUCUCUUGUAUCCAAUUCUUGUCUUCAAGUCCGGGAUUGGUGCUAGUAGGUUGCUAGUAGUGUUAAUUACUCCUUGUAGUUGAUGCUAGUUGGUUUAAUUGGUGGAAGAUCAUAUGUUCAGAUCCUUUAUGCAUAUUAAUACCACUCUGAUUAUGAACAUGAAUAUGCUUUGUGAGUAGUUAUGUUUGUUCCUGAGGACAAGGGAGAAGUCUUGCUAUUAGUACUCAUGUGAAUUUGGUAUUCGUUCGAUAUUUUGAUGAGAUGUAUGUUGUCUAGCCUCUAGUGGUGUUAUGUGAACAUCGACUACAUAACACUUCACCAUUAUUUGGGCCUAUAGGAAGGCAUUGGGAAGUAAUAAGUAGAUGAUGGGUUGCUAGAGUGACAGAAGCUUAAACCCUAGUUUAUGCGUUGCUUCAUAAGGGGCUGAUUUGGAUCCACAUGUUUCAUGCUAUGGUUAGGUUUACCUUAAUACUUUUGUUGUAGUUGCGGGUGCUUGCAAUAGAGGUUAAUCAUAAGUGGGAUGCUUGUUCAAGUAAGAACAGCACCCAAGCACCGGUCCACCCACAUAUCAAAUUAUCAAAGUACCGAACGCGAAUCAUAUGAAUGUGAUGAAAACUAGCUUGACGAUAUUCCCAUGUGUCCUCGGGAGCACUUUUCCUUAUAUAAACAUGCUUGUACUUUGCUACAAAAAGGAUUGGGCCACAUUGCUGCACUUUAUUUACUUUGUUACUUGUUGCUCGUUACAAAUUAUCUCAUUACAAAACUAUCUGUUACCACUUAUUUCAGUACUUGCAGAGAAUACCUUGCUGAAAACCGUUUGUCAUUUCCUUCUACACCUCGUUGGGUUCAACACUCUUACUUAUCGAAAGGACUACGAUAGAUCCCCUAUACUUGUGGGUCAUCAAUGUUUUGGUGAUCAACUUGCGGGUUCCGCCCAUGAACCUAUGCAUAGGGGUUGGCACACGUUUUCGUCGUGAUUCUCCGGUAGAAACUUUGGGGCACUCUUUGAGGUUCUAUGUGUUGGUUGAAUAGAUGAAUCUGAGAUUUUGUGAUGCAUAUCGUAUAAUCAUAACCACGGAUACUUGAGGUGACAUUGGAGUAUCUAGGUGACAUUAGGGUUUUGAUUGAUUUGUGUCUUAAGGUGUUAUUCUAGUACGACCUCUAGGGCUGUUUGUGACACUUAUAGGAAUAGCCCAACGAAUUGAUUGGAAAGAAUAACUUUGAGGUGGUUUCGUACCCUACCAUAAUCUCUUUAUUUGUUCUCCGCUAUUAGUGACUUUGGAGUGGCUCUUUGUUGCAUGUUGAGGGAUAGUUAUGUGAUCGAAUUAUGUUAUUAUUGUUGAGAGGACUUGCACUAGUGAAAGUAUGAACCCUAGACCUUGUUUCCUAUCAUUGGAAUACCAUUUAUGCUCACUUUUAUCAUUAGUUACCUUGCUAUUUUUAUAUUUUCAGAUUACAAAAAUCAUUAUCUACUAUCCAUAUACCACUUGUAUCACCAUCUCUUCGCCGAACUAGUGCACCUAUACAAUUUACCAUUGUAUUGGGUGUGUUUGGGACACAAGAGACUCUUUGUUAUUUGGUUGCAGGGUUGCUUGAGAGAGACCAUCUUCAUCCUACGCCUCCUACGGAUUGAUAAACCUUAGGUCAUCCACUUGAGGGAAAUUUGCUACUGUCCUACAAACCUCUGCACUUGGAGGCCCAACAACAUCUACAAGAAGAAGGUUGUGUAGUAGACAUCAAGCUCUUUUCUGGCGCCGUUGCCGGGGAGGUGAGUGCUUGAAGGUAUAUCUUUAGAUCUUGCAAUCGAGUCUUUUAGUUCCUUGUUUUAUCACUAGUUUAGUUUAUAAAAAUAAAAAAUAAAAAAUGGAAUUAAGUUUGCCUCAUACGCUUUAUCUUUUUAAUACCUAUCGUGAGAAUAAGGAUUACGAUAAUUGUGCUCAAGUGCUAGAAGAAGAAUGCAUUAGAAUGUUUGGCACUAAAUAUUUGAAUGAUGAGCAUGAUUGCGAUGAAUUCCUUGAAUAUCCAUGAUACUAAUGAUAUGCAAAGCCACAAGCUUGGGGAAGCUAUGCUUGAUGAGUAUGAUAUUUUUUGUCCCCCAAGUUUUGAUGAGUGAUACGUCUCCAACGUAUCUACUUUUCUAAACACUUUUGCCCUUGUUUUGGACUCUAAAUUGCAUGAUUUGAAUGGAACUAACCCGGACUAACGCUGUUUUUAGCAGAAUUACCAUGGUGUUAUUUAUGUGCAGGAGCAAACGUUCUCGGAAUGACCUGAAACUUUAUGGAGACACUUUUCAGAAAAUAAGAAAAAUACCUGCCAAAGAUGAAGGCCAGGGGGGUCACCACCUUGCCACGAGGGUGGGGGGCACGCCCCCCUACCUCGUGGGCCCCCUGUUGCCUCUCCGACUCCAACUCCACCUCCAUAUAUUGAGUUUCGGGGAUAAAAAAAUUAGAGAGAAGAAAUCAUCGUGUUUUACGAUACGGAGCCGCCGCCAAGCCCUAAAACCUCUCGGGAGGGCUGGUCUGGAGUCCGUUCGGGGCUCCGGAAAGGGGAAUCCGUCGCCAUAGUCAUCACCAACCAUCCUCUAUCACCAAUUUCAUGAUGCUCACCGCCGUGCGUGAGUAAUUACAUCGUAGGCUUGCUGGACGGUGAUGGGUUGGAUGGGAUCUAUCAUGUAAUCGAGUUAGUUUUGUUAGGGUUUGAUCCCUAGUGUCCACUAUGUUCUGAGAUUUAUGUUGCUAUGACUUUGCUAUGCUUAAUGCUUGUCACUAGGGCCCGAGUGCCAUGAUUUCAGAUCUGAACCUAUUAUGUUUUCAUCAAUAUAUGAGUGUUCUUGAUCCUAUCUUGCAAGUCUAUAGUCACCUAUUAUGUGUUAUGAUCAGUUAACCCCGAAGUGACAAUAAUCGGGAUACUUACCGGUGAUGACCGUAGUUUGAGGAGUUCAUGUAUUCACUAUGUGUUAAUGCUUUGUUCCGGUUCUCUAUUAAAAGGAGGCCUUAAUAUCCCUUGGUUUCCGUAAGGACCCCGCUGCCACGGGAGGGUAGGACAAAAGAUGCCAUGCAAGUUCUUUUCCAUAAGCACGUAUGACUAUAUUCAGAAUACAUACCUACAUUAUAUCAAUGAACUAGAGCUAGCUCUGUGUCACCCUAGGUUAUGACUGUUACAUGAUGAACCGCAUCCGGCAUAAUUCUCCAUCACCGAUCCAUUGCCUACGAGCUUUCCACAUAUUGUUCUUCGCUUAUUUACUUUCCCGUUGCUAUUGCUAUCAUCACUAUAAAAUACCAAAAACAUUACUUUUACUAUUGUUACUUUUUGCUACAGUUAUCACCACUAUCAUAUUACUUUGCUACCUUUGCUGCAGAUAUUAAGUUUCCAGGUGUGGUUGAAUUGACAACUCAGCUGCUAAUACCCGAGAAUAUUCUUUGGCUCCCCUUGUGUCGAAUCAAUAAAUUUGGGUUGAAUACUCUACCCUCGAAAACUGUUGCGAUCCCCUAUACUUGUGGGUUAUCAAUGAGUAAAUUUAUUAUGAUGAUAGCAUGCCUCCUAUUUAUGAUGAUUAUAUUGAUGAAAGUGGAUUUGGAGAGGUCAUGACUUUAUUUUGUGAUGAAUCCAUUAUUCCGGAAGAGGUUCCAAUUGAUUAUGAGAACAAAGUUGCUAUCUAUGAUGAUUAUUGUGAUGACUUGUAUGCUAUAAAGAAUAAUGAUAUCCAUAAAACUUGUCAUCAUGAUUUUAGUUUUCAAUUGGAUUAUGCCUCACACGAUAAUUAUUUUGUUGAGUUUGCUCCCACUACUAUUCAUAAGAAGAAUUUUGCUUAUGUGGAGAGUAAUAAAAUUUCUAUGCUUGUAGAUCAUGAAAAGAAUGCUUUAUGUGAUGGUUAUAUUGUUGAAUUCAUUUAUGAUGCUACUGAAAAUUAUUAUGAGGGAGGAAUAUAUGCUUGUAGGAAUUGUAAUAAUAUCAAGUUUCCUCUCUAUGUACUUAAAGUUUUGAAGUUAUGCUUGUUUCACCUUCCUAUGCAAGUUGAUUCUUGUUCCCACAAGUUGUUUGCUCACAAAAUCCUUAUGCAUAGGAAGUGGGUUAGACUUAAAUGUGCUAGUCAUAUUCUUCAUGAUGCUAUCUUAUGUUUCAAUUCUUAUAUUUUAUGUGAGCAUCAUUGAAAUCAUCAUGCCUAGCUAGGGGCGUUAAACGAUAGCGCUUGUUGGGAGGCAACCCAAUUUCAUUCCAGUUCUUUACUUUUUGCUCCUGUUUAGUAAUAAAUAAUUCAUCUAGACUCUGUUUAGAUGUGGUUUUAUGUUUUAAUUAGUGUUUGUGCCAAGUAGAACCGUUGGGAAGACUUGGGUGAAGUCUUUGCGAUCAUGCUGUAAAAAACCGAAACUUUAGCGCUCACGAGAAUUGCUCCCAUUUUUAUUUGGAGAGUGCUAUUUAGUUAAUUAUUUUUGCAGAUGAUUAAUAGAUAAAUUCCUCACCUCCAGAAAUUUAUUUGAGAAUUUUAUGAGUUCCAGAAGUAUACGUUUGAUCCAGAUUACUACAGACUGUUCUGUUUUUGACAGAUUCUGUUUUCAUUGUGUUGUUUGCUUAUUUUGAUGAAUCUAUGAGUAGUAUCGGAGGGUAUGAACCAUAGAGAAGUUGGAAUACAGUAGAUAUUACACCAAUAUGAAUUUAGAAUGAGUCCAUUACAGUACCUUAUGAUGGUGAUUUUCUUUCUUAUACUAACGGAGCUUACGAGUUUUCUGUUAAGUUUUGUGUUGUGAAGUUUUCAAGUUUUGGGUAAAGAUUUGAUGGACUAUGGAAUAAGAAGUGGCAAGAGCCUAAGCUUGGGGAUGCCCAGGAAGGCAUCUCCUCUUUCGUCUUCGUUCAUCGGUAACUUUACUUGGAGCUAUAUUUUUAUUCGCCACAUGAUAUGUGUUUUGCUUCGAGCAUCAUUUUAUUUUAUUUAGUUUUGCUUGUUGUUUGAAUAAAAUACCAAGAUCUGAAAUUCUUAAAUUGUUAGAGAGUCUUCACAUAGUUGCAUAAUCAUUCAACUACUCAUUGAGCUUCACUUAUAUCUUUCGGAGUAGUUUGUUGUUGCUCUAGUGAUUCACUUAUAUCUUUUUAGAGCACGGUGGUGGUUUUAUUUUAUAGAAAUAGAUGAACUCUCAUGCUUCACUUAUAUUAUUUUGAGAGUCCUAAACAGCAUGGUAAUUUGCUUUGGUUAUGAAUUUAGUCCUAAUAUGAUGGGCAUCCAAGAGGGAUAUAAUAAAAACUUUCAUAUAAAGUGCAUUAUAUACUAUGAGAAGUUUGAUACUUGAUGAUUGUUUUGAGAUAUGAGGAUGGUAAUAUUAGAGUCGUGCUAGUUGAGUAGUUGUGAAUUUGAGAAAUGCUUGUGUUGAAGUUUGUGAUUCCCGUAGCAUGCACGUAUGGUGAACAGUUAUGUGAUGAAGUCGGAGCAUGAUUUAUUUAUUGAUUGUCUUCCUUAUGAGUGGUGGUCGGGGACGUGCGAUGGUCUUUUCCUACCAAUCUAUCCCCCUAGGAGCAUGCGCUAGUACUUUGUUUCGAUAACUAAUAGAAUUUUGCAAUAAGUAUGUGAGUUCUUUAUGACUAAUGUUGAGUCCAUGGAUUAUACGCACUCUCACACUUCCACCAUUGCUAGCCUCUCUAGUACCGCGCAACUUUCGCCGGUACCAUAAACCCACAAUUUACCUUCCUCAAAACAGCCACCAUACCUACCUAUUACGGCAUUUCCAUAGCCAUUCCGAGAUAUAUUGCCAUGCAACUUUCCACUGUUCCAUUUAUUAUGACAUGCUUCAUCAUUGUCAUAUUGCUUUGCAUUAUCAUGUAGUUGACAUCGUAUUUGUGGCAAAGCCACCGUUCAUAAUUCUUUCAUACAUGUCACUCAUGAGUCAUUGCACAUCCCGGUACACCGCCGGAGGCAUUCAUAUAGAGUCAUAUUUUGUUCUAAGUAUCGAGUUGUAAUUCUUGAGUUGUAAGUAAAUAAAAGUGUGAUGAUCAUCAUUAUUAGAGCAUUGUCCCAAUGAGGAAAGGAUGAUGGAGACUAUGAUUCCCCCACAAGUCGGGAUGAGACUCCGGACAAAAUAAAAAUAAAAAAAGGCCAAAGAAGCCCAAAUAAAAAAAGAGAAAAAAAGAGGCCAUAAAAAAAGAGAGAAAGGCCCAAAUAAAAAAUAAAAUAAAAUAAAAAAUGAGAGAAAAAGAGAGAAGGGGCAAUGCUACUAUCCUUUUACCACACUUGUGCUUCAAAGUAGCACCAUGAUCUUUAUGAUAGAGAGUCUCCUAUGUUGUCACUUUCAUAUACUAGUGAGAAUCUUUCAUUAUAGAACUUGGCUUGUAUAUUCCAAUGAUGGGCUUCCUCAAAAUGCCCUAGGUCUUCGUUAGCAAGCGAGUUGGAUGCAUACCCACUAGUUUCUUUUGUUGAGCUUUCAUACAUUUAUAGCUCUAGUGCAUCCGUUGCAUGGCAAUCCCUACUCACUCACAUUGAUAUCUAUUAAUGGGCAUCUCCAUAGCCCAUUGAUACGCCUAGUUGAUGUGAGACUAUCUUCUCCUUUUUGUCUUCUCCACAACCACCAUUCCAUUCCACCUAUAGUGCUAUGUCCAUGGCUCACGCUCAUGUAUUGCAUGAAGAUUGAAAAAGUUUGAGAACAUCAAAAGUAUGAAACAAUUGCUUGGAGUACUUGGAGGACGACUCUACUACUUUACAAAAAAAAACCUCGGGGGCUCCCACGACCGCCAAGGCGAUCUGGCGGCGAUGACAGGUGAGACGACGGCCUCGACACCGGCAAAUCCGUUGGUGCAGAGGCGAUUGAUUCCUGGAGGGGGGCACGAGCUGGUUCUCUUCAGCGGGAGGGAGUGAGAGCAAAUCAAGGAAAGAUCGAGGCGGAUCUUUCGGGGAGCGACAGAUCGGGACCAAGUCUUGAUCCGGUCGAGAAAAAGAGCGAAGGAGAUAGCUGAUUUGUUGGCAGGUGAGAUUUCGUCGAGAUCAGGGGAGGUGAUUAGGAGAGGAGCGACCGCGCCCCUCGCGGGAUCGGAAGAGUGUAUCUCGCAGGGGGUGGGCGUGGUUUCCCCCGGUUCUUUAGAGAUAGUUUCAGUAGAUAAGGCUAGUUAUUUAUUCCUUCAGGAUUGUAGAAUUAGAUUGCAGCCGGGAUUGAAGGUUGUUUCAAUUUUGUUUCCUGCCUUUGGGGAUUCAUUUGAGGGAAAGGGAGGAAUUCUUGGAGCAGUUAUUAGGAAACUGCUCAUUCAUGGUUGUUUAUUCACUUUUAAUUACAUCAAUUUCGUUCCUGAGAUUGUUUGGGAAGGAUUUGUUGCUUGCUAUAUCUGGGGACUCGGGAGCGGCUGUCAUCCAUCUUCUCUUGAUCCCAAGCACACCCAUCUUCUCUCUGCACAGUCCACCUCUUGCCGUGAACUAGCCUAUACUAUGGCGGGACAGGGAGAGCUUGUGAGCAGUGAGGUGGGGAAGAAACCUGUGACUGUGGUGGGUUCCGGGGGGACGACGGCUGCAUCGACGGGUACUUGCUCCCAGCCGGCGCUCGACCAUGUUGGCUCCUCCUCCCACCUAGUGCCGCAUGUCCAGCCGAGUUCGAUGAUCCUGGGGCGUGGCCAGGGAGAGGGUCGUCCUCUCGUCAUUGACUUGGAGGCUGCCCGCAAGGCCGUCAGUGGAUUCCUAGUGGUGGGGUGCCUCCUCUCCCCUUUCCAGGUCAAUCCGAGGGUCAUUGUCGACGACCUCCAGAACACGGUCUAGAAGAACCAAGGGGAGUUCACCAUCCAAGAGGUGGACAGCGCGGACGGGAGGUUUAUCCUCAAUCUCGCUGCUGAAAGCGAUCGUCGAUUUGUGCUAAAGGCGCAACCUUGGCAUUUCAAGCGUGACGGUCUCAUCUUCGCCGAGUUCGACGGCAAGGGGGACCCAGCAGAGGUCGACCUUGGUGUCAUGGCCAUAUGGGUCCAGGUACGCGAUCUUCCAUUCGAGCUUAAGACUGAGAGUAUAGGGAGGUCUCUUGCAUGUGCAAUGCACGUCUUGCUUGCACAUGCAAAGGUAAAUAACGACAAACCAUGAUUAGAUCAAUGGUGGGCAUAGGGUCCAUUGAUUUCUCAAGAAACAUACUAUGAGCAGAAAAUAAAUGUAAUAUAAAUGAAUAAAGAAUUGGUAAGAAAAAAUAUGAUCCGAAUAAAGGUUGCAUUAUGAUGGAGAAAAAUGUAACAUAUGUUUUGGAUAACAGUGCCCAACCAUGUUAUGAGUUUCGUACAGGCACUUGAAAUUUGAUUGUGAGAUAUUCUCUAUUCCUAGUCGAUAAUGCAUAAAAAUACAACUGAAAAGGGAUAUAACAACCAAGCAAUAAUCAGCUUGGGCAACAUUAUCUCAUCUGUGUUGAGAUGUCUUCACCAAGAUUCCGUUCUCUGCUUUCUCUUUACCCAACUUAAUUACUGGAAAGGUAUUUGAGUUGCUCAUUGGUCAGCACACUACAUGGGAGAUCAAUAAUACUACCACUGUAAAUCACUAAAAGGAGAGGACACUUCGCAAACAUGUCUCAUAUUUCAGUAUACUACUUUAGUACUUACCGCAGGUGUGGGAAGAUGACAACAACAAUCAAAAAAAGGUUUCUUGUCCCUGUAAAAUCGGUGAAUUGUUAUAUCUUAAUCACAUAUUUGCUCCAUUCAGUUGAACUAAUUUUGACGAAGAUCAAUUUCAGGUCUAAAAUUUCAAGCCUAAUGAAAAACAAAAUGCAAUAGACAUAACUGAAUAAUGGGUACAUGAUAGUAGGUUAAAUAAGCCCAUACAACUUGUGGUCUAUGGAAAUAAGAAUUAGAAUUCAAGCUCAUACAAGUAAAUAAAUAGAUUAUCAAAAAGCUAUAUCGGGUUACAGAGCAACAAUAGUGCUACCAUGAGGUUGCAGUGAGGAAUAGUGGAAAAGGAAUAAAAAAAUUGUGUAAGCAUGAGAGCAAACUUCCUCCAAUAAUUUUUGUGUCAGUCACAUAGCAGGUGCAUUCCUGUUCUGAUUAAAUCAGAUAACCAAUGAUGGAAUAAUCCCAUUAAAGGGGAUAGUUGCAUUAUUGUUCAUGUUUUUCUUCACCGCAAAGAUCAUAUAUCUGAGUGUAGCCUCUGCAGCUAACUUUCAUCACCUCCCGGACCGUCAUGGUAGGUUGUUGAUAACAACAACAGUAACACAAUCGCCGCGAGAAAAAUGUGUGAUGUAGCACAAUGGUGACACCAACGCCUCCCGGCUGUGCCCAGCUGUGGCAACUGCCACACCCCACUGCCACCGGACGGCGCCUCCAUCCAGGAGUACACAAGUUACCCCACGCCAAGCGAGAUCUUUCAAAUCUUCUCUAUCAUUGUCAUUGCAAAAGGACUUUCAUCAGUGGCUCGCUGACAAUCUCCCCCAAACCCUACAAGAGAUUCAAGUAAGUUUAAACUUCCAUUUUGCACAUGUGCAAUUGAGUCACUCACCUUGCUAGAGUAGGUCAGAUCUAUUAUCCAUACCUAAGCCCUCCGAAUUAUUGUAUUUUCCUGGCCAGAUAAUGGAUCAACAAGCUUGUCCCUUCAUAUUGUCAAACACGGGCUGACUGGAUCAUCUACUUUGGUCAUUCAAAUUAUAAAACACAAUCAUGAUAUUGAAAUCUCAUCUCAUUCCAUCAUGUGAGCUUUUCCCAGUUUUUUUAAAGAGCUUUUCUUAGUUUUGGACAAACUGAAUGACGGUGAUGAUUUGUAUAUUGUAGCUUUUUCUUUCAUACGCUUCACUGGGUAGAUGGGAGAGCGCGCUGUGCCCUAUGUUCAACCCCAAAAAACUUGAUUCAAGGUUUGUAGGUCAUAGUAGUUGUCAUCACUCGCAAGCUUGCUUGUGCACUUUAAAAAACUGCAUGACGAAGCACAUCAAGAGCAGCAAAGGUGCUCUCAAGUUGUUAUGCAUAUCAUAUGGCACAUGUAGGACAACAAAAUGACAGUCAUCAAGGAAAAUAUAUAAUUACCAAAUCAACCCCAAAUCAGCACUCGCGUCUCCAUCUAUGUAUCAGACUACUUGGAACUGAACUGAAUGUAAAGCAAGAUUUAAGUGUUGACCAUUAGUCCUCAAUGUCCCAUGUGUUCUCCAUCCUGCUCCUGAUUUUACUGUCCUACUCUAGUUCGUAGUCUAAAUUUAGUUACUAGUUGCACUCACCCCUAAGUGAACACUAAAAGUUUUAACAGGAUAAAUCACACAGAUAUAUCAUUAAUUACCUUAGCCAAUAGAGUCCUGGAAUUGGGUCACAAGAUCCUGACAAAACUGACCGGAGUUUUCGUAGUUCUCUGAAACUUUUCAUGUCUGGUUCGCUACUACUCACAGUUCUUGGAUUAAAUAAGCCCCAUGAAAGCAAAUUUUCUUGGGGUAUACGACUGAAAAGAAGGUUGUAAAAUUCAUCAAAAUCAUCUAGAACAAAACAGUAUGACAUACUUUUUGCACAAGUACUGUAAAAACAAGUAUUACAUGUCCUAGCCUUUCUUUCUCAACAGUCUCUGGCUUGUACUGAAAAAACAGUAUGACGUACUUUUUUACUCCUACAACUACCUUCGUGAUGAUCCGAAGAAAGUGUCGCAGACACUAUGCACAUUUAUUUUGUUGGAUUGUGCAGAUCCAAUUGAGCAGUCCCUAAAGCUGGAAGGACUUGAGAGAAUUCAGUACACUAUUAUUAGGAGCCAACAAUUCCGUUUUAGAACACAAUUGCUAUAGAUAUAUGAUGCUGAAAAUUCCGUUCUUAAAAUAUCCUUCAUAUUUAAACUCGACAUAUCUAGAAAAUGAGAGCUUUGGCCUUCUUCUGUUAACAUGAAAGUAGCAGCUAGCAGCCAUGUUGCAACUCCAUAUUUUAGACGCUUUCAAUGAAUACACAAGACAUGCAAGGACCGCUCACAGUUUCAGCGGCAAUAUGAGCAAAACAAGUCAGCAAGCACAUAAUGAUUUCUAGGCUGAGAAGAGUGUAGAUAGACGUGCAUAACAAGUAUUCCUAUAUACGACCCUUCAGCACUUAUCUGCUUCUAAAACAAACCAUAUACUAAAAGCUGGAAUACAGAUCACGAAAAUGUUGCGAUAAUUCUGAUUUUUGCAGUUGACAGAACAAUAUUAGUAGAAGGUAAGUAGUAUUGUUCUGGAAAUUUAGUGAAACGGAAGCGUGAUUAGCAUAUCAAAAUACCGUAUUAAUCGACCCAUUGUAUCUGGAAGAAUAGGGCGGCAUGUCUCACAGGGUCAUCCAUGAUCGCAGUGGAUGUAAAUCGCUUGGUGAUCGAUGAUGAAAUGGGGCGAGAUGGAUGCACCCGAUGGACGUUUUGAGCACAGUACUUGACACAAUAGCCUUGAUCUUUGCGACCCCUCUCCAAAGCUGCCUUUCUAUCCUGAAAUCUCCCGAAAAAACCAAACUCUGAGACAGAUGGUAGCCGGUGAGGGGAACUGACCACAUGCUGCUGAAGUAAGCUUCUGCUUUUUAUGUUCUGAGAGGUCAAAUUUCAGGCUGGUUCUAGUGAUACUUAUCAGCCUAAAACUACUUGGUCACAUAUGGACAUGAAGUCCAACUGAUUGUCCGGUAGCUAAAUAGUUCAAACUUUUUCACUACACGGUUUGUGACUAAUAAGUCAGUCAUAUGUUAGUACUACACAGUGCUUAAUGACAUUUUAGUUUUUUUGCAAAAAAAAAAGAAUUAUAGCAAUUGGAGUUCACUUGUUCGUUUUUUCUAUAACUAAUGAGAAACAAAUAGGAUCUGCUUUCUUGCUAAAAAUUCUUUAAGCAAGGGAUCAACAUAGCUUCCGUCAAAUUCUAUGAAAUCAUAUGAUGCUAGAUAACAAUAACAGCAUCAAACUCUACAAAAUAAAUGCCUCGGCAUUUAAAAAAAUCCAUGAUGAGCUCAUUGAUGAGAAGCAGACAAACACUAUGCCAAUAAAUAAUUACCACUACCUAAGCAUCAUUGAGCUACAUACUAUGACACUCUUGUUUAUUCAGUAGAAGAGCAAGAAAAGUCUUCCUUUCAGCGUGAUAAUUGGAAAUAUUUCAGAUGCAGAAGAGUAGGAAAAGAAUUUACCAAUGGAUGAACAGUUUCAAUAUGAAAAUACUUAUGUGCAUUAUAAAGAUUAUUCAGUUUAUGGAACUUUAAAAAGUAAUAACAUGGCAAAAGCUUUUAUAUUGUCUUCAGAGGAUAAAACAACCAUGCAUGUUUGAAAAAAGUUCAGAAUCAAGUUGUAAACCAGAUACCUUUCUAGUUGCAAUACCUCCUUCAGCAUCCUCUUUCUUGUUGUAGGAAAAAAUAAGCUUGAAUAAUGAUCCAAGAGCAAAGGCGUUGGGACUAUCAGUGCCACCCAUCAGCAGCAUUGUCGACUUAUAUUUCUUCCUCAUUGGACCAUCACAUACUAUGUUCUUCUUAACUAUCACCUACUCAAGGCAGUUCUAGAGCUUUGCAUAUAAUUUCAUAUUAUUUCAACAUAAAUAGCACAACUUAUCAAAUAACCCAGUAUAAAGAGAUAUGCAUGAAUUUCAGCACAACACAAAGAUCUAAACUUCAUGCUUUUACAAGGGUAGUAGUAGAUGAACACUAUACCACUACAAUAACUGACAAUAGUAUCUGAAUUGUGGAGCACGACCACAAUGUUCAGAAAAGACGCAUGACAUUUACCUGAACAUGGAUAACCUGUUCGUCAAUCAAGAAGGCAUGUCUCUUCAGAGAAUAAUAUUCAGUUUCGCUGGUUAAAACUGCUUCUUGCUUUUAACUGCAUUUCACUCAAAUUAGCCUAACCUCAAAACUGAGGACAGAUCAGUCUACUGCUAUUGCAGCAAGCAAAAUGAAAUUCAUUCAAAAACAGAAGAUAACAUAGAGAGCAAGCAUGACAUGGUGGAUAAAAUGCGAUGGAUCGGUAGCUGGUACUCCCUCUGUAAACUACUCCCUCCGUCCCAAAAUUCUUGUCUUAGAUUUGUCUAAAUACGGAUGUAUCUAGUUACAUUUUAGUGUUAGAUACAUCUGUAUCUAGACAAAUGUAAGACAAGAAUUUUGGGACGGAGGGAGUAAUAUAAGAGCAUUUAGAUCACUAAUAUAAAACUGGUUCAAUGUGAUACGAAUUGCAACAGAUGUCAACACCUAUGAAGCUACAGACGGGCAACUCCCAGUUCAUUGAAGUAUACCACAACUGUAUAUAUACUGCUAAGGACAUACAGAGAUCAGAACCAAGAAUAGGAAGUGGUGGUAACCUGACUGUAGCUGCGACUGCGGCGGUUUCAAGAUGGCCUAGGCGAGGCGGCGGAGAACCGGCAGGCAUCGUGGGGAGUGUGGUCGCGAAGGGGCCAGCGGUGGGGUGUCGUGGUCGCUGUUCGGGGAUGGCCUGAAUUGGGAGAGGCGUGCGUUUGUGGAGUGCGAGUGGGGGUGGGCAGCAGCCGGCGUCACCGUGCGCGCCGCAAGGAAGCAGAACCCGGCGGCCACCUCGACCCUCCUCGCCGCCUUCCGUCUCCGCCUCCACCUCGACCGCGCGCACCGUAAUGAAGCAGAACCUGGCCUCCACCUCAACCCUCCGCACCGCAAGGAAGCAGGACCCGGCGGCCAUCUCGUUACUCCCCCGCCUCCGCCUCGCCGCCUUCCGGGACACCGCGCUCACCCUCCACCUCCUCGUGCGCGGAGGAGGAGGCCAAGCUGAGCGGCGGUGGCGGAGGAGGGCGAGGAUUUAGGGCGGCGGGUGGCGGCGGAGGCCGAGUGGAUAGGCGGGCGGCGGACGGGGCGGACGACGGGGGAGGAUCGGCGUCCGCUGGGAGGUGGAGCGGGCGAGGUCGUGGUGCAGGUGUGGUGCGGGCGUGGCGUGCGGAGCGGUUUUUGUUUUUCGAAGCAGCGGGUAGGAUUAGCGAUCGAUAGUGUGGGCGUGGCUUAAUUCCGUGGCUUGCAGCGUUAAACACGAAACGAUUAGGAGCCAUUAGAUUUUGAUGAUGGAUGGAUGUGAUUGUUUGGAUCUGCACCUCUCUUCCUUUUAUAGUGGUAGUAGAUUAUAUGUGGAUGACAUACUGUUGAUUGGAAAUGAUAUAGAAUUUCUGGAUAGCAUAAAAGAAUACUUGAAUAAGAGUUUUUCAAUGAAAGACCUCGGUGAAGCUGCUUAUAUAUAUAUAUUGGGCAUCAAGAUCUAUAGAGAUAGAUAAAGACGCUUAAUUGGACUUUCACAAAGCACAUACCUUGAUAAAGUUUUGAAGAAGUUCAAAAUGGAUCAAUCUAAGAAAGGGUUCUUGCCUGUGUUACAAGGUGUGAAGUUGAGUAAGACUCAAUGCCCGACCACUGCAGAAGAUAGAGAGAAAAUGAAAAGUGUUCCCUAUGCUUCAGCCAUAGGCUCUAUCAUGUAUGCAAUGUUGUGUACCAGACCUGAUGUGUGCCUUGCUAUUAGUUUAGCAGGGAGGUACCAAAGUAAUCUAGGAGUGGGUCACUGGACAGCGGUCAAGAACAUCCUAAAAUACCUGAAAAGGACUAUGGAUAUGUUUCUCGUGUAUGGAGGUGACAAAGAGCUCGUCGUAAAUGGUUACGUCGAUGCAAGCUUUGACACUAAUCCGGACGAUUCUAAAUCACAAACCUGAUAUGUGUUUAUAUUGAACGGUGGAGCUCUCAGUUGGAGCAGUUCUAAACAAAGCGUCAUGGCGGGAUCUACUUGUGAAGCGGAGUACAUAGCUGCUUCGGAAGCAGCAAAUGAAGGAGUCUGGAUGAAGGAGUUCAUAUCCGAUCUAGGUGUCAUACCUAGUACAUCGGGUCCAAUGAAAAUCUUUUGUGACAAUACUGGUGCAAUUGCCUUGGCAAAGGAAUCCAGAUUUCACAAGAGAACCAAACACAUCAAGAGACACUUCAAUUCCAUCCGCGAUCAAGUCUAGGUGAGAGACAUAGAGAUUUGCAAGAUACAUACAGAUCUACAUGUUGCAGACCCGUUGACUAAGCCUCUCUCAUGAGCAAAACAUGAUCAGCACCAAGGCUCCAUGAGUGUUAGAAUCAUUACUUUGUAAUCUAGAUUUUUGACUCUAGUGCAAUUGGGAGACUGGAGAAAAUAUGCCCUAGAGGCAAUAAUAAAGUUAUUAUUUAUUUCCUUAUUUCAUGAUAAAUGUUUAUUAUUCAUGCUAGAAUUGUAUUAACCGGAAACAUAAUACAUGUGUGAAUACAUAGACAAACAUAGUGUCACUAGUAUGCCUCUACUUGACUAGCUCGUUGAUCAAAGAUGGUUAUGUUUCCUAACCAUAGACAUGAGUUGUCAUUUGAUAAACGAGAUCACAUCAUUAGGAGAAUGAUGUGAUUGACUUGAGCCAUUCUGUUAGCUUAGAACUUGAUCGUUUUAGUUUACUGCUAUUGCUUUCUUCAUGACUUAUACAGGAUCCUAUGACUAUGAGAUUAUGCAACUCCCAAUUACCGGAGGAACACUUUGUGUGCUACCAAACGUCACAACAUAACUGGGUGAUUAUAAAGGUGCUCUACAGGUGUCUCCGAUGGUACUUGUUGAGUUGGCAUAGAUCGAGAUUAGGAUUUGUCACUCCGAUUGUCGGAGAGGUAUCUCUGGGCCCUCUCGGUAAUGCACAUCAUUAUAAGCCUUGCAAACAAUGUAACUAAUGAGUUAGUUGCGGGAUGAUGCAUUACGGAACGAGUAAAGAGACUUGCCGGUAAUGAGAUUGAACUAGGUAUUGAGAUACCGACGAUCGAAUCUCGACAAAGGGAACAACGUAUGCUGUUAUGCGGUUCGACCGAUAAAGAUCUUCGUAGAAUAUGUAGGAGCCAAUAUGGGCAUCCAGGUUCCGCUAUUGGUUAUUGACCAAAGAAGUGUCUCGGUCAUGUCUACAUAGUUCUCGAACCCGUAGGGUCCGCACGCUUAACGUUCGUUGACAAUAUAGUAUUUAUGAGUUAUGUAUGUUGGUAACCGAAUGUUGUUAGGAGUUCCGGAUAAGAUCACGGACAUGACGAGGAACUCCGGAAUGGUCCGGAGAUAAAGUUUGAUAUAUGGGAUAAUAGUGUUUGGUCUCCGAAAGGGUUCCGGAUGUUUUCCGAAAUGUUUGGGUACGAGAACACUUGAUUUGGGCCAAAGGGGAAAGCCCACAAGGUUUUUGUAAAGCGCAAAAAGGAAGUUUUGCGGAGUCCAGGGGCCAGACGUCAGGGUCCCUGGCGUCUGGGUCCAGACGCCGGGAACCCUGGCGUCUGGCCCUGGAGUCCGAGAAGGACUCUUGCCUUUCGGGUGAAACCGACUUUGUGGAGGCUUUUACUCCAAGUUUCGACCCCAAGGCUCAACAUAUAAAUAGAGGGGUAGGGCUAGCACCCAAGACACAUCAAGAAACACCAAGCCGUGUGCCGGCAACCCCGUCCCCUCUAGUUUAUCCUCCGUAAUAGUUUUUGUAGUGCUUAGGCGAAGCCCUGCGGAGAUUGUUCUUCAGCAACAUCAUCACCACGCCGCCGUGCUGCCGGAACUCAUCUACUACUUCGCCCCUCUUGCUGGAUCAAGAAGGCGAGGACAUCAUCGAGCUGAACGUGUGCUGAACACGGAGGUGCCGUACGUUCGGUACUUGAUCGGGACGGAUCGUGAAGGUGUACGACUACCUCAACCGCGUUGAUAAACGCUUCCGUUUUCGGUCUACGAGGGUACGUAGACAUACUCUCCCCUCUCGUUGCUAUGCAUCACCAUGAUCUUGCGUGUGCGUAGGAAUUUUUUUGAAAUUACUACGUUCCCCAACAGUGGCAUCCGAGCCAUGUAUCCUCCCAGAAUCUCGUAGAAGUACCGUUACCGACAAUAAACUUUGUCCGAUUGAAAAAAACUGAUCUAACUCCCAUCAGUCCUUUCCAAAAAGGCGAGUCCAUUGGCCUCACUAUCACCUGAGAUAAAGUUUUGGAAUGAAGGUACUUAUUAUGCAGAAUUUGUGCCCAUGUAGCCUCCAUCUCAACAGAUAGCUUAUACAACCAUUUGCUGAGAAGACAUUUGUUCUUCACCUCAAGAUUUUCGAUACCUAGACCCCCUUGGUCUUUCGGUCGACAAAUAAUAUCCCAUUUGGCGAGUCUAUAUUUUCUCUUCAGAUCAUUUGCGACAAUGUUAUUGUCAUUAAUGUUCUAGCGGCAUUAUUUAUAGUCCCCAAGGCAUUAUUUAUAGUUCAUAAUUUUUACAUAAAUCAUAAAUCUGAAAUGUUCAAGAAAAAUCAUAUGACUUGUUUAGCUCGAAAUUGAGAGAUGUAGGAAACUAAAUUCUUUCAUGUCCGAGACAUUUCUUUUGAGUUCAAUUUUCUCCAACAUCUUAUUCUUAGGGAUGUCUAAACUGAUAGAAAGCAAUUAACAGCAGAAAUUGUCUCAAGAACCUUAGGAGCUUAAUGUGAGUGAGCUUUGCAUGGAACCAAAUUUUCAGUUAUAAUGGCACAAGAUUUAGUUUCCUCAAGUAUCUCACUCACGGGCAUAUCUCAUGUACUGGAGCCAUCCACACCGACUGUAUAGAACCAGGCCUCCACUGCUCCGGUGCUUCACCAGGCAGGCGGCCACCAGGGUUAUGUUCUACUCUCCAUCCUUCCUUUCUUCCGCAUCCAUUCCGCUCACUGCAUUUUUUUUGCUUGAAGUGCGAGGAAAUUGGACUAAAGAUGAUGGAUACUAAUGGGGAGAUGGGACAGUGGGAGGAUUGCCGAAGCUGGCCAAGCAAAAGUAAGUGCUUCUCCUCUGUGUUUAAGAAAUAAAAAAAAUCGGUGUUUAAAUGUUUGACCCAUGGCAGGUGCAAAGAAUGCUAGCUUCUUCUGCUUGCGAGAAUGAUAUGUGAGAAUAUAUUAGUUUAUUUCUUGAGGGGAGGAGAAUAUAUAAAAUUCGUGCAUAAAACAUUGUUAAACAUGUAUAAAAUAAUGCUCUUGAUGUAUAAAAAUGUAUGAAGUUAUGUAAAAAGUAGACAUAAAAAACAUAUUUAAAGAAAUGCUAAUCAUGUAUUCGAAAAAUGUUAAUUAUGUGCAUAAAAAUGUUCAUGGUGUGCUACCUGAUGUGCUACCACCAUAGCCUUAUCUAGAUGCUGCAAGGUCAGCAGUUGGACACCGUCAUCAAGUAGGUAGUACAAAUCCCCCUCGGCUCCCUUCAUUGUUAGUCAUUGUUUCGAUAUGAGUGGAAAGAUUCUGGCUAGAGAUCAUUGUGAUGUUUGAUGCAGAAUGAUAUUUGAGUUGAUGUUGCUUUAUGUAGUUAUGAUCAUAUGGUUGUCAUUUCCUGCAUGUCACGAUCUAAAAGGAGAAGAAAAUUGAUGCAAUCAUUUACAUGUUGUGUAUAUUAACUUAAAGGAUCCACGUAUCAUGGAUGGGAAUUGGAUGCAUGAACCUAAUAAGUAGUCCUAAUAAGGGAUUUCUCAUUGUGCUAACCAUCUUCAUUCUGACAAGGUUCCAUGUGAAUCUGAGUCCCCUGAUGAAGUCGCAUUUGUUAUUCAAUUAGGGUAAGAGUUCAACAAGAGGGCGCAUACAAGCACGCCAAAUUUCAUAUUCAACAGUAUACUUGGCUUCAGACACAAGUUCCAUAUACAGAUCACACUGUCAAAAUUUACAAUCUUUAAAUCAUUAUAAAUCAAUAGUACUUUCAAUUCACGCCGUCCUUUGUUUGUCGAGAAAUGGUUAAUUAGUUGAUUAUUAUGAUCAACAACAACCAUGAUCAUACCACUUCCUUUUUACAGGGGCCCUGCAUCGAGGUUGAUGGAGAUGAUUGAGCUGCUCGCCGAUUAUUGGUAACAAUGUAGAGCGGCUCUAUCAAAUUGCCUUGGUUGGAGCAGAACCAUCGGGUUCAGGUUGCAGCUCACUGUGCACUUAAGAUCACAGGGUCAAAAAUUCCACGUGAACUCUUUAGUUCAUAUCGUCUUUACUACCAGCUUGGCUAAAUUUUCAUUGGGAUACCAGCUUGGUUAAUUGUUGCCUAUCUUUCAUAUAAUUGAGCCGAUAGGUGGUACCGACAAUACUAUAGAUGUUUAUUUUGUUAUAUGGAUCCAAUCUUUGAGCUCGUUUAUGAUCAACUACGCUUAGUGUCAUUUCCCUGUUCUUUUGCGAUAGUUCAUAUUUUCUGCAGAUUUAUGUUAUAAAUGAACUAUGUUGUCAUUUUACUUCUUUGAGAGAGACCUGUGUUGAAGAUGAUCAACUCAAUUUACUGGAAACAAAAGUAUGAUGAAAAGCAGUUAAUCUUACGUAUGAAUAGUAACUUGGUGGAACUUGGUGCACUCAGUUGUAGGUGCACCCAAUAUACAAAAAAAGGACUUGAAAAAUGUCAAAAAGACCCGACGUUGUACACGUAUAAAAAGUUUCAUGAAGGAAUACUUUCCAACAUGACGAAAACAAAAAUCACCAUUAUAUACAAGUUACUGUUCAUUAGGUUUCUACUAGGAUUUUCUUUUUGUCUGAGGUCAACGGAAGUUUAUUCCCGCACUUAAUUUUUUAUACGGAUACCAAAAUAGGUCAACUUUGUUUCAAAAAUAAUUUCAGGAUUUUUUACUUUUUCUGUAAUUAAUAAAUUAUUUUUUUCCUUAUCAGGCGCACUUUAUAUAUACUAUCCAAAAGCUUGUAGGACGAUGGCUUUUUCUCUGAUUUCAAUAAUGCCAGCCGUCGUCUCUAACUUGAUGUAUUAUAUUUACAGAUGAGACAAAUGUAACCAAAAAAAUGGUGGAGCCAUUAAGAGUUAACUCGGAUAGAGAAUUGCUCUACCGGUGUUACAAGACUGGCGAGUUGAACUUUUAUAUUUUUUGGUUAUUUGGCCUCAAAGGAUCUUUGUUGAAAAGAGCCUCCUCGGCCCUGGGGGUGAUGAGAAAAGGAAUCCACUAAGAAAGGGUUGAUUAUGCCACACAUGCAUAUGAUGGCUUUCCCUCUAUUGUUUUUGGAAAGAUAGUGAUGAGAAAGGGUGAAUUUGUGUGCUUUUUGAUAAUUUUGUUGGUUUGUUAGUGUGAGAAAGUAUCACAUAGUUAGAAUACUUGUGGAGGCCAUGGCUGGUACAUAUGAUCUAAAGUUUACCACAUUCUGACCUUACUAAUGGAGAUGUACUUGAUGUAUACGAAAAUGUAGACUUAUGUGAGGUAUUGGAGAUGGAAAGUGAGGGGGGUCUUUUUUUAUCUUCUCUAAUGGAUACAUAAAUUUGUACACUAAAUCGGGCAUGUGCGCACGAGGGGGAGAAGAGGAGAGAGACAUUGACAUUUUUCAUGCUUUGAACAAACAUUUUCUAUUCGUAGCUUUCUUUUUUUGUGGCAGUGCGUGAGCGUGGCGCCUCGUGAUAGAGCCCGGGAUGAAGGGUGGGCCCAGUACAGAACCAGGAGGUACUUGCACUAAGAUAGAAAGACGGUUGCCACCCUUGUCCCUUGUUGUUGGCAUGCAACGGUGGUGUCGAUCACUAGCUCACUUAGAACACGAGUUUGUGGAUUUUGUUAUGAGAGUGAUGGUUGAGAGUGAGCGGGAUGGGGUUGGGUUUGCCUGUUCAGUUGCGGCUGUAUGACCGGAAUAAGUUUUCUACUUUAGGAAAUGUAGCAAAUUGCAUUUCAUUAGAGACAACUUUGCAGCAAAUUGCAUGAGCGAGCGCUUUAUUUUUUUCAUCAAGUCGUACAGUUUGUGGUUAGGAUAGAAAAACAAAUGCAUUAGUUCGUUGCUUCAAGAGUUUUUUUUUUGCGGGGUGGUUGCUUCAAGAGUUAAUAACGGAAACAUGGCGUAUCAGUUGCAUGCCCAACAAUGGACAUCAUACUUUUGUUUCUUGGUAAUGCACGACAUUUAAAUGUAUGUUACAACGUGCAAUGGCUCAGGAGACAUUGCAUCUUCCUUCUUGGCUCGAGGACGUUAUGGUCGGUGCAUAGCUCCUCCCCCUUGACAGCGAUGGUGGAUCAAUGUGAACAUAGGAGGGGAUCAGGGCGGUUGGUGGGGGACUCCUCUUUGGCGGUUCGUGGGGAAGUACGGUCUGAAGGAUAGAGGGCGACAUGACGAAGGUGAGGUGGACAUCAUCUAGUUUUAAAUGAGAGGGCCCCAACAAGAAACGUCCCGUUAUAGUGGCAAUCGAGUGGAAGGGGAGGGUCCAGCAGAAAAAAAGAGGGGUGCGUUAUGGGGUGGGGUUUUUUAUGAGACCAAAUAUUGAAGAUAACAUGGCGGAUAGUACGGACAACCACAUUUCUUCCUCACAUACUAGUAAUCGUACACGUGCAAAUGCACAUUUAUCUAAAAUAAAAUUGAUCCUUAUUCAGUUUUCAGACUGGUAUAGGUGUGAACAUAUAAUUUUAGUGAUCUAAAACGUCUUAUAUUUGUUUAUAGAGGGAGUAUAUUUUAUUCCAAAUUGUUGCUACGAUAGAGAUCUUAUUUGAGAAGAAACCAUCCAAAUAUAUUCACACGAAUUUUUUAAGGGAAUAUAUUCACAUCGUUCACAGCAAACAUCAAUAGAAAAAACUCUGUAUUAAUAUUUCAAAUGACUUAAAUGACUUCCACUAUACAUUGGAAAACUGAAAACAUGUCUAUGCUUAUAUGGUUGACUUACAAUUCCAUGCAUGAUUUGAUUCCAUUGUUUGAUACUCCAUCCAACUCUAACUCUUCUCUAUAACUGAAAAUCAACCAAGCAAAACAGAAAAGAGAAACAAACUAUAAGAACAUGAGUAAACCUUAUCUCGCUUCGACGCAAAUCAUGGAUGAUUGUGGGCGCCCAGCCGCUGAUUAUGUAAAAUUACCUAGCAGGUCCAGCUCUGAUGGUCCUGCAAGCAAGUCUCUUGUCUGGAUAUAAUAGUUCUAGGCACAAACUUAAAAACUUUAUUAGAUGCCCCUGAUGCACUGUAAGGCCUUGCAGUGUUAGCUCGAACAGCCCAACUGUAUGGACAUGUAAAUCAGGUAUCGACAUGAAAACAUGGACGAAGAUUCUAUAUAUUUUUGUAGGUGAAAAAUAAAUUUCAGUUAGUAGUUGCCGCAAGUAUAUAUGUAUUGACACAUUCGACAUACAGUAUGAUAUAUCAAUAGUAAAAGUUCAUAUUAUAACAUUGUACAAAUAGUAAGAUAUUUGCUCAAGAUAACACAUCGAUUCACAAAACCAAGUCCCAAAAAGGUAGACCAUCCUUCUGCACGGCAACACAAUAGUCAGACAUAUGGAAAACUUAGCUGCAUGUCAAAAUCAUACGAUUAGAAUCCAUUAAUCUUUAGAAAUAUAUACUUGUUUUAUCUAAUUCAAUCAGCAAAAGCAUAUAGGUCCAGGAAUAGGAGUUAAUCUGAAGCAUGUGUCUUGUUCUUAACUUCUCUUUGGCUGCUCUCUUCUCCUUCUGGUUGAUCUGUUGAGAUCCUUUUCCAGAAGCAUAUUCAGUAGAAGGAAAAAUAAUACUUUGAAGGAGAACCGUAUUUUGAUAUUACAAAAAAGCACAAAUUUAGUACAGGUAAGAUUUAGUAGCUCCCGAUGUUUCGAGUCAUUUAUGCAACUCAGAAAUACCACAAAAUAUAACCAGGACUGAAUAAUUGCACAAGGAAAAGAGUAGCAAGUGUCCAGUAAAUACAACUUGGCACACGAUCUAGCUUACGAACUAAUGAAUAGAUUGAAAGGAAGUAUUGCUACAUGCAUAUAUAAUGAACAUACAGUGAAGUACUGUCACAAUGCACAUGUCAGUGAAUUUGAACAUUGUUCUUUAUGUAACUGUAAAAACUAAGAAUAAAGACCGGAACCAUUUGUAAUGAGUAAGAAGCCAAUCCUUGAAUUUUGGAAAAUGUACAGUAAAAUAAUUAAUCAAAGUUCAAUGCAAAAUAGAAAGAUGUCCAUUAAGAGACAUACUCCUUUUCCAGGUUCCUUAUGAUCACAUUUAGCACACCAUCAAUGUUAAUAAGCUCAUACGCAGCCUUGAUCAAGCACCUGGAUUAUAAGAGAACAUACAUUGGACACUUUAGUAAAAUGAUGCUUCAUGAACAGCUACAUGCAUAUGUACCAGUCUGAAAGUGAUACCUCCAGAUUGCAAAAGUUUGUGACCUCUUGAGUUACAAAUUUACAAGCACAAGGAUGAAGAAAAUAUAAAGGGAAAGAAGAGAAGAAUGCACCAAGCUGCGUCUGCGUGACUACUGUAGCAAUUAGCAAUGUAAUCAUGCAUCAGCAAGUCUUCUGAAAAUCUCUCCGAUUAUAGUAGGUGGUUAAGGCCCGGUUUAAUAAAAUGUCUCCAAAGUGGCAAAGCUAGGAGAUAGUACAUUUGUAGCAAGAAAAUAAUUACAGAAACGAUCUUUAGAAAUGCAUGCUUCAGUUCAGAGUAGUUGUUUCAAGAAACCAAACAACCCAUUAAAAAAUGCCAACUACAAAUUGAGUAGCGGGCUUCAGAAUUCUCGGAAGUCAAAAUUGAUUCAUGCAAUCUGUACACACUUGAAACCUACACCCCGUAGUCCGUGAACAGUUGAGGAAACUUGGUAUGUGCAAUCUGUACACACUUGAAGCAGUCAAGCAGCAAACAGAAAACUGAAUAUGAAGCUCUUUGGAAUGGUUUAUGAAAAGGAAAAUCACAUGAGUAUGAGGUACACCGCACUGGAAACUGAACAUGAAGCAGGCCCAUCCAUGGUGUUUCAUGGAACCAGAUUUCCUUUGCUGCUCCUCGUCUUGCAUGUUCUUGCAAAAAAUAUAGAGUAUGAGGAUACACCGAACUGGUGGCUUGAUGUUAGGUGUUAAGAUAAAAUAAACUUGAUCAAAGUUCGCCCGCGUGGUGGCGAGGGCCCCAAUGUGGCGGUGGUGGCGGCCCGCUUUUGCAUCUGUGGGGCAGUAGCCGACCCGCGCUCAUGUCCGUGUGGCAGAUUCGAAGGAGCGGCGGGGCGAUCCAUGCUCACAUCCGUGAGGCAGAAGAGGAGAGCAGCCGCCGGCGGCGGCGAUCCGCUCGCGUCUGUGAGGAAGCAGCGGUGGGCGGGACGUUGGCCGUGCGCAGCCGUUCGUCUGGCAGAAAAGGAGCGUUGGCAGAGGAGGAGCAGCGAGCGGCGGGCGGCGGGGGCAGAAGGUGCAGGCAGUUUCUAUUUUUGUUGAGGCGUGGCGUGCGGUUAGUUUGAUGAUGACAAGCGGUACGGGGAUUAGAUCGGUUGAUCAGUGGCUUGUUGCCUUAAACACAGAGAUGUUUUAGACCCUUGGAUCGGCUAGAUAAACGAUUCUGGUUAUUUGGAUCUGCCCCCUCUCUUCCUUUUACAGGGGUAGUAGAUAAGCAUUUGUAGCUAAAAAUGGAUCGAUUAAAUUGUGACAAAGAAACAAAAUUAUGUACAGAGUUGUAGCAAGGAACCAAAAUCAAAGGGGUUCCAAACCUGGGUUGAGGAAACCUAUCAAACUUGCAACCUGAGCAAGCUAAAAAGGCGAUGAAAUCAAUGCUCUCACCUAAAGCAAGGAGGAAGCUUGCAUGUGGUUGACAGUGAGGUGCAGAGGUUGUGGUUGUUGAACAAUCACACAUACAAAAUUUAGGAUUUUCUAUUCCGUUGUGAAACACAUACCUUCAAUAAUGAAAGAGUGACAUUGCAAGACACUGGAUAUUACAAUACAUUUCAAUUUAGCAUCUAGAAAUUGUUUUCCCGGUGGCACACCUGCAGGCAUAGAAAUAUAGGACAUCGCGGUGAACAAUUUGAAUAAUAUAUUCUUAUUGAAGUAUAGUGAGAGCAAAACAUAGCACACAAAGCGUAAAUAGCAGACCUGAAUAUUCCAGCAGGAGUAUUCAACUAUUAAUGGUAAAGACAAAUGAACAGGUUUCCAUUUCAUUGAAGAUGCUCUAGCCAUAGGGUUAAAUUCAUUUGAAAAAUCUGAAAACACACAGUUGUAAACCAUUGCCUACGGAACUGAACACACAUAUCCAAAACACCUGAAAUCGGGUUUCCAUAAUUCUUUGUGGUACACAGCUAAAUUAUAAACUUAUUCAUAU